UGGAACUUCCUUAAGUGUGUUUGAAGAUUUGAAAAGAGCAUUACAUAGAUCUUUUCAUAUUAAGUAUGUUGGUCUGCUUAAAUUCUUUUUAGGUCUUGCGGUAGCUCGAUCAUCUAAGGGCAUAACUCUAUGUCAACACAAAUAUUUUCUUGAAUUUCUUCAAGAUGUUGGCCUUGCCGGUUGUAAACCAGCCUCUACUCCCUUAGAUGCUUCCAUUCGCCUCCAUCGAGAUAAUGGCUCAACAUUCUCUGAUAUCACCGCAUAUCGUAGGCUUGUUGGUAGAUUCUUAUAUCUUACCACAACACGGACAGACAUUGCAUUUAUCACUCAACAACUAAGCCAAUUCAUGAGUCCUCCCACUGAGCUACAUCAUCGAGUUGCUCUUCGUGUCCUGCGAUACCUCAAACGCUCUCCUGCCCGAGGUAUUUUUUUUGUCCUAAUCAUCUGAAAUACAAAUACUUGGUUUCAGUGAUGUUGAUUGGGGAGGUUGUAUUGAUACGAGAAGAUCCAUAUCUGGCUAUUGCUUUUUCAUUGGACAGUCCUUGGUGUCAUGGAAAUCAAAGAAAGAAGUGACUGUUAGUUGUUCUUCUACUGAAGCUUAAUACCGUGCCUUAGCAUCAACCACUCGUGACCUUUAAUGGAUUUGUUUCUUGUUGCAUGAUCUCAAACAACAUCCUUCGCGGCUUCUAGUCUUGUAUUGCGAUAAUCAAAGUGUUAUUAAUAUCUAUGCUAAUCUAGUCUUCCAUGAAAGGACUAAGCAUUUGAAUAUUGAUUGCCACUUGGUGCAUGAAAAGCUACAAGUUGGUGUUAUGCGGUUGCUUUUGGUUCCUUCUCAAGCCCAAGCAGCUGGUGUACUCACGAAAGCUCUUGGUCGACGUCCAUUCUUUGAUUACUUGUCCAAGCUGGCUUGGUAUACAUUUACCGACCUCAAGCUUGGGGUGGGGUGGGGUGGGGUGGGGGUGAGUCCAUUCUUUGAUUACUUGUCCAAGCUGGCUUGGUAUACAUUUACCGACCUCAAGCUUGGGGUGGGGUGGGGUGGGGUGGGGGUGGGGGUGGGGGAUAAUGGAUCAUAUAGAAGAAGAUAAAGAGAUAGAUUCCCACGUUGCAUGAGCAUGCUAUUAUCAUGCUCUCUCUUGCUUGAUUAACUACUGGUUCUUCUGUUAGUUGGAUUGAGUUAGUUAGGAUGGUGAUAUGGCAUAACUACCUAAUGUAACUAUAUAGCAUGUUGUAACUAACUUCUUCAUUCAUCAAUGCAAAUCAUUAUUGAGUCUUUCUUUUUCAUUCUCUUUCUACUUUCUCUCCAUCAAUGGAGUUUUAUGAUUGCUUAGAAUAAGCACAAGGUAAAGACAAGAACACAAAGGACCAUAUAAAAAAGACAAUGGACAUAGUAUUUGUGGCCACAUGUUCACUAAUACGAAUGUUUUCUGGUUUAAUGUAUCUACGUGUUACAUGCUUUCCAUAGCAAUAUAUAAGAGCCCGGGUCAAUGAUGAAACAUAUAGCCUUAACCACACAAUAACAUGCAUAAAUUCGUUAAUUUCAAAUGAAUAUACAAAGUCCCAUAAAAAAAUAAAAAAUAAACAAAGCAUUUAACGUUGUUUCAGUAUAUUUGGUUUUUAACACAAUAUUGGUGGUAGUCAUUUCCAAUUUUACCUUUUUACUUUUAAAUUCUUUCUAUGAGAAAUAUCAGUCAGAAUUUAGUUAAAAUUAGUUAAAAUUUACUCAAAGUUGUGCAAAGAAAAUUCUGUCAAAUUUUAAAAGAAACCAAACUCAGAAUUUGUAAUUCUAAGCAUGGAAACAUAUAUCCCUAAAUAAAAUAAAUAAAUAAAUAAAUAAAACAAGCUAAACUUCUAGAUAGAGAGAAAAACCAAGGUUAACUCCAUCUCAAAACCAAAAAUCAGAGAUAGAGAGAAAACCAAUAAGAAUGUAGACCUAUAUCCUCUUCAAACAACAACAAACCAGUGUAGAAAAAAAGAAGAACAUGAAGAAAGAAAUGCAAACAAUCGUUACUAUUUUGUUCUAUCAAACUCAUCGUUUUAUCUUUUACUCCCACCGUUGCAGAUCCACCAGCCUUACCGUCACCGUGAACGCACGACCUCCACCUCAUUCUCUUGCUCCGACCAGCCACCACCACUAGCAGCUGAACAUCCUCCAUCGCCGUCCGGACUCCAUUACUCUCUCCCUCUCAGGCCGCCACUGUUUUCACUUACGUUUUGACGCACAACCCCCAUUAUUACCGGCCUCCUCCCUCUCAAAUUGUCAAAGUGCAAGUUCACAGAAAAGGCUGUGUGGAGAGAGAGAGGAAGAACAAAAAGAAAAAAAAUAAAGAAAUAAGCGAAGUUGUGUUUACGGUUGCCGUGAAUACCAUGGAGAUUGGAAAAAGGAUAUGUUAGCUGCGUCAAUUUGAAGUAUGGAGAAGAAGAACACUUAACAUAGAUUGCUGUUUGUAAGUGGGAAACGUACCCCUUGUCCUCAUAAUCAAUAUUUCUUGCUUAUUAAAAGAAAAACAAAAAUCUAAUAAAUUUAAAUUUCCUUGUAACAAUAACAAAUAUGGUUAAUUAAAAGUGAUCAUUACAUUUGAGUUGUUACAAUUUAGUGGUUUUAAUUUUUUUUAUAACAAUAAACUUGUUAAUAAAAUAAGACCACGAAAAUAGUUUUUAUUUAAUUUUAGUGUAUUUUUCUAAAAUAAUAAAUUUUUUAAAGAGAUUAAUUAGAUAAACUCUUUUAAUCUUCGAGACAUUAUAACACAAAUUGUGAUAAUUUGAUUGUAUAAAUCUCUCUUUUUAACAAAUUAAUAAUAAUUUUAUUAUGUGAAAAUCGGAUAAAUAGACGUACAACUAUUUUAAUCAUUGAAUUUUCAAUACACUUGUUGUGCAACUAAAUCAUUUUGAAUUCUCGUAUUUUAGAAAAUCAAACUUGACUAAAAAAAGGAUAAAUUGGAUAUACAUCAAUUGUAUCUUAGAGUGUUUCAACACAAGUCAUACUGUUUAUUUGUUUGAACACGUGUCUUCUUACAUCAAUAAUUAAUUAAUUAAUUAACAAGUCAUUUUGAGUUUACUCUUUAAUCGAAUUAAAACGAAUUUACUAGACGUACAUCUCAGACAGAAGUCAUACCACUUGCUUGUUGGAACGAUUGUCUUCCUUUAAGAGAAUACAACUCGAUUUGAUUUGAAUAUUUUUCUUUUUAAACAAAAAUUGGAUUAAAAAAGAAUUAUUAGAUGUACAUCCUUUCAUCCUCGAGCCUUCGGACACAAGUCGUACCACUUGCUUGUUCUAACACUUGUCUUCCUCCAAAAACAAUCACAAUUGACGAAUAAAUAAUAUUUUAUAUGCUCCAACGCGACUAACAAAUAAUGUUUUUAUCCACACUAACACAAUCUACGAUCAACACUUUUAUCCACACUAAUGUGAUCUACAAACAACAAUUUUAUCCGCACUAAUGUGAUUAAAAAUUAAUAUUUUUCCGCUCUAACACAGUCAAAACAUUUUACUUUAAAAUUAACCAACACAUAAUAUUUUUUCUACAAAGAACUAUACGUAGCUUUGAAUUCUCUAUCGCACCGGAAGAUACGUAAGAGCAAGAAUCAAAUCUUGUCAAACACAUUAAGAAAAAAAAAUUCAGUUGUUUGUAAAUAUGAUUUAUCUUGUGUUUAAAGAAUAUGAAAAAUUAAAUAUAAUAAGGUUAACAAUUUUUUUUCCAAAUUAACUAGAGAUAACCGUUUUCUUAUACAUAUGUCAUAGGGUGUUAAUAUCUUCCAUUCGUAUAAUGGACUCUCAAACCUAAAUUUGUUUGAGAUGGCCAUCUUUUAUUAUUUAAGGUUUUUAUGACGUUUUUCCUUUUUAAGAAAACUUUUUUAGUGACUUCAUUGUUUUUCGAAUUUUUAAACUGCAACGGCUGACAACUACACUAGGGACUUUUAAAGAGUUAAGCCUAACAUAGUUAAAUUUACAAAAGGAUUAACUUCAUUUAUCUUUAUUUCUCGUAAUAUCUUGUGUUUUUAUGUUUUCUUUGAUCUUUAUAUAUUUCAUGUUAAUGUUGUAAUACCUAAAGUGAUAUAUAUAUAUAUAAUAUAUAUAUAUAUAUAUAUAUAUAUUAAUAUAUAUAUAUAUAUAUAUAUAACCCUUGUUUAUUUAAAAAAAUUAUUUUACAUUAUUUUUGUUUCAAUCUACAAAGUAAAAAUCUGUUGACAAAUUCUAAAUAUUCAUCAUCAUCAUCAUCAUCAUGUGUUUGAAGUUGUUGAAGUUCAAAUUCUAAAUUUUAUUGCAUACCCAUUGUUUUUUAAAUUCAAUGGUUUUGCAAGUAUUUGUUUUUGGUAUAAAAAUAAUAAAUUUUAGAUGAAGAAAAUUGGUUUUGCAUGUAAUGUCUUGACGAUUGUUAAUUUAUAAAUGGACGACAAAGAUUUAUUUAUAAAAAAAAUUGAGUUAAAUUUCCCAUCAUUGAUAAGGAUACCCGAAGUAAAAUAUAAUUUAAUUUCAAAAUAAAAAUAUUAGAAAGGCAUCAUUUUAUUAAUGCAUAAAACAAAAAGUUGUUGGUGUUGGGAAUUGAAGUUUGUGUCAUUGAUUGUCAUUUCCACUUGGUUACCAACCCACUAGAGGAAAAAGACUCCUUACAUACCCAAAAAGAAAAUGGUGAGCUGUACGGAAUAUAUAUCACUUAUAACUUUUUACCUUUCACAAUUUUCUUUUUGGAUUUAAAUAUCUUCUCAUCCUGAAUACGAAUAGGCUUCUCAACGUUUUCAACCAAGGAAAGUAAUAAAUUAUUGAAUUUUUACCUUGGAUAACAACACUUAAAACUUAUUCUUAAAUAUAAUAAUGGAUUUCACGAGAUGAAAUCAAGUAAAACAAUGUUAUUUUAUGAGAUAGAUUGUAAGAGCAGAAAAUUGUUUUCUUUAAGGUUGGUAAAACUUGAAAGAUUUUUUCAAUCUUGCAAUUCAUCUCAAAAAAUGAUGUUUACAAGUUUGAAAUGACAAUGAAUGAGUUAGGUUUAGGAAAAAACUGAAUGAACGAAUAAUUUUAUAGACAAAAAUGAAUGAACGAAUCCCCCUUAGUUGUUUGUAUAUCAAAAGAAAUAUAUGACUUAACUUCUAAUUAAAAAUAAAAUAAAAAGAAUGACGCAAUUUUAAAUGAACUAAAAACAUGAACUACAAUUUAUGGAUUCAAAGUGUGUCAGUGAGAUAGUUUCCCCCUCGAUUAUUUGUAUAUCUGAAGGAAAAGAUGACUUAAUUUUUAAUUAAGAAAUAAAAUAAAAAGAUUGUCGCCAUUUUAAAAGAAUAAAAACAUAAAGAGUCUAAUUUCGCUAUAGCGACUGAUAUUUUUCAAUUUCUAAAUCGGUUAAUAAAAGUGAUUUUUCUAGUAGUGGUCAAGCAUUAAGAAUCCAUUAAAAAUGCUUAAAAUUAAUGAAUAACAAUCAACGUCCGAGUUUCUUAUAAGAUAGGUGGGAGUGACUAAUCAAAUGAAAGCAUAUGGUGAAACAGUGUGUGAGUUGAUGAAGAUUGAGAAGGUUUUGAAUAAAAAUAUUCAAAAUUAGGUCAAUUGUUAAUUUCAAAACUAUGGUCAAAAGUAAUAAUUUUUAUGUAAUAUUAGGAUUCUCCUGUAACUAUUGACCUAAUGGUCAAAACUAUUGUCAAAACUACUUUUGAUCAUAUGAUUAAAUAUUCAAAACUAUGGUCAAAAGUAAUAAUUUUUAUGAUCUUAAUCUAACACUGACCUAAUUUUUAUACACGAAUUUGUUAUGAGUGUGGUAAACCCUAAUAUCGUGUGAUUUCUAAGAAAACAUUAAACCUAAACAUGAAAUUCUAAAUAUAUAUAUAUAUAAAGAGAGAGAGAGAGAGAGAGAGAGAGAGAGAGAGAGUAUGUUGGAUUUAUAGUGGUUCACACUUUCGUCCUUGCUUUGUGGCUACUUGAUAGCACCAAAACACACUACAUAUUUGACUCCGAUUGCACAUGUUUUACCAUCCUUUUAUUAUCAUUUCUAUCGUUAUGCUGGUAUUUUUCCUUAUUUUCAGGUACAUGGCCUAGAAAAGGCCUUACUCGAAGAAACGAAGCAAAAUGGAGGAAAAACGGAGAAAAAUUAGUAAAAUGUACACAUGGCGUUCAACAUAGAGGCAGCCGCGGGGAAGAUGACGUGUCCCACGUCCCAAUGGUUACAAAGACUGGGUCUGGCCAUUUUGGGAACAUGGCGGUCAUCAUCUGUGAUUUUUGCGCUCCAGUCAAAGGCAGUUGGAGAUUCACCCCCAUGACCACGAUUUUUUCCUCACACGAAUGCUGAAGGAGUUACAUGUUUCCCUAUAUCUAGUACUAGUAUAAAUAGGCCAUAAAGUUCAUUGUUUUGAUCAUCUAAGCUUAGUUGCAGCAUAGGCCAUAUAUUAAUUAUUAAAGCGAUAAUUCAUCACAUUGAGGGGUUACCGCACCAUUAUUGUCAUUAAGUUUGGAGCAUUGUAGUCGUAGCAUUUAAUCUUACCUCCAUUUACAUUUCUGUUGUACCAGAUUCAAGUUUUCGAUUGCAGCAGGUUUUUAAUAUAUUCUGCACCGCUUUAUUUUAUUUAGUUUGUCGCAUUGCCUUACUUACUUUAUUUUCUAGCAUCACUUUACUUUGUUUAUUUCAUCGCAUCGCUUUACUUUGUUUAUUUCCUCGCACCGCUUUACUUCGUUUACUUUAUUUCUUGCUUGUUACUUUUCGUACAAAAAUCUAUUUUCAAAGUUAUACAUUUAUUUACAAGUUCUUGUUGAAACUCAAUUGCACACGUAUCAUUUUAAUAUGUCAUAUAAAACUUUUCAAUCAUAUGAUAUAUCAUUUACCAUAACCAUGUCCAGCUAAAUCAUUACUGCUGGAAUGUGAGGACCGUCGAAUCGACGGUACUCCAUAUGUUGUCUCGGUAAGAGUGCUUUUGGGGCUGCUUUGACUUUAAUAUAAUCUUUAAGUUAAAAGUUUUCCAACAAAAUUACUUUUCAACUGAGUUAAAGAGGUGGUUACAUAAAAAGGAUUUUCUACUUUAACGCAAGACGUGACCAGUGCAACGUGAGCGACCGGUAUAAAUUAAAGAUAAAGGUUGGUUUCGAAAAAUCGAAAGUGACGGUUCCUUCUUAAUUAACUCUUUUUCAAGAUAGAAAACAUCGCCCCAUAGGUAGUUCUAAUUAGAGAUAAUAGGAGUAUUGUUGAUUGAUGUGAUCCAUGUUCCAGUAUUACAUUUUUGAAUUCGUGUAAACGUUAUUAUUUUCAUUUUGUUUCCGUUUCAAACAGUUUUGAUAUCGCCUUAGAUAAACACUAUAACAAUUAGAAAUGAUGGAUUUGAAUAUUUUUCUCUGUGGGAUCGAUAUCUUUGAAACUAAGUGAUAGAAUGUACACUUGAAGUUAAUUAAUAUGAUAGACUCAUAAUCUCACGAACAAGUUUUUGGCGCCGUUGUCGGGGACCAAUUACGUCAAAAUGUUGUAAGUUAUUGUUACACCAUCUAGAUUAAGGCACCUUAUCUCUAUCAUUAUGCAUCGUCGCAAGUUUUCUUACAAUUACCUCUCUCAAUAUUUUGAAGUACCGCAUGAGUCUCAUAAAUCCAAUCUUAAUAUUAUCUGGGAUAAUUACAUUGAGACGCUAACUCUCUCCAACCUAAAAUGCACCAUGCGGAAAUUUAUGGCAACACAAACCAUGUGGAAUAAAGAGUUUAUGAACCAACUUUUUAAUACUAAAGAAACCCUUAGGCAGCUGAACAUUAUGGUCGAGUCCCUAGCAACUCACAACAAGGAAAUGGAGACUCAAAUCUCCCUGCUUGCACAGAUACCUCUAGGACCCUUCCCUGAGAAACAUGUGGAUAUUGUAAUAACCACCAGUGAAAAAUCUAUCGAAAAUCCUAAGGAGAGUGAUAAUGAGGAGGGUUCAGGUGAGAAAAGAGUAGAGAUUGAGAAAGAUCCACUGACACCACCCGAAAGGGAGGUUGUCGAGGAGGUAGAUAAGGAAGCAUUUUGUGUUGUUCCUCCUCCCUAUAAAUCAUUGAUUCCUUUCCCGCGAAGGCCUGUGGGAGUUAAGGUAGACUGCAAAUCCGAAAGGUAUGAGAAGCUAUUGGAAAAUAUCCACACCAUUGCACCUUUGUUUGAGAUCCUAAAUAAGAAGAGAAAAUUAGAAGACCAUGAAACUAGGGAACUCAUUAGUAUUAAAAGGGGAAAAUUACACUUUGAGGUGGUAGAUGAAAAAAUUGAGCCCAAACCUGAAAAGCUAGUGCUCAGGAUAGAGCCAGAACCACCACCACAAGUUCAGAAGGAUAAACUACCUCGCAGAAUGAACAAAAGAAAAGGAGAUGGAUAUAAGAGAUGGCUUGAGAAGUGGCCAUGGAAAUCGAGGAUAAUUAAAAGUUUGACUGAGGGUUCAUCCUCGAAAUAACCACCAUGAGUACUUACACUCUUAAGUCGUCGAGCUUCCGACGUUAAAUAAAGCGCUGCGUGGGAGGAAACCCACAAAUUUCGUUUACCAUUUCCUUUUCUUUUCUUAUCCAAAUAUAUAAAUGGUAAAGAGGCAUAUAGAGGCAACAAACCGAGAUGGCGACCCAUAUCCAUCAGAUUCAGGCCCAACAAGUUAAUUACAUUGAACGGACCGAACUGGACAUGGGGGACCUGAUCCAAUAGAUGGCGGGAUUACGGACAAAGAUGGAUGGAUUACGUGAGUAUGUGCAACAUGUUGGAGUUCCGCACCCUUAGUAUGGACGAGGCAGACAUGAUGGUUGAUGCCAUUUUUAAGUUGGGACACAAGUUCUUCCUCUCCUUCUUCACCUUAUAUCAAAACAUUGAGGAUAAUGUUCGGUUUAAGUGUGAGAGGGGAUCUUUACCGUUUUUAUCGCUAUUUUUAUCGCUUUCUAGUUAGAUUUAUCAUUUUAUGCAUUUAGUUAGAAUUUUAUCAUUGCAUGUGAUGUCGAGUCUUUAUGCGUAGUUUUCUGCUGUUUAUUAAUUCUUUCAUUUCUUGAGCCAUACCAAAAACAAAAUUUUUGAAGAAGAAAACAAUGUUUAUUUUUGAAAUUUUAGGCUAUUAAAUAAGCUAAGGAUAGGUUGUAGAGACUUUGGAAAGCUCUUAAGAUCAGUAUCGUCUUAACACCAUAAGUCUCCUAAUUAUAGAGAUCGAUUUGGAUACUUGUUAUGUCAUGGCCUUGAACUCUUACCCCUUAAUAAGUCCUUAAGUAAUUUACUUUAGCAGUCAAAACCAUCUUAAGCAUACACUAAGCAGGAAGGUCGAUGCAAAUAAGUGAGUGAUUUUGAGAAAAAAAAAUGAAUAAAUGCUAAAGCAUAAAUACCAACGGUAGUGAAAAGUAAUAAGUUCCUAUUGUUGGUUGGUUCAGAGGUAUCUGGUUAUGAACUUGGUAGGGAGGAUUACGAUCUGAUCCCCCUCAGCUGCAAUUUGGAAAAGGGGUGAACCAUUUUGAUACCAGAACCCCGUCAGCAAAAUAAAUCAUAAUUACUAACAUAUCUCCUCAUUGUAUGUGUAUAGAUAACUGGCUUAAUGUGAUUUUUCCUAAAUGAAAAAGGACGAAAAAUGGGAUGAUUAAGUAAGGCCUAGGCAUAAUAACAUAAUGCAUAUUGGUUUAUAUAGCAAGGAGACUUAUGACCGCAAAUGCGGAAUGUGUUGUUACGAUAUCCUUAGUUUGCGAGGUAGUACCUAUUGACACGAUCAUAACCAAAGCAAAGUCUAUAGCCUAAAAUAAUUAUCUGGGAGUUACUAUUUUUCUCCUUACCACAAGUCUUUCUUGAGGACAAGCAAAAGUUUAAGUGUGGGAUAUUUUGAUAACACCAAAACACACUACAUAUUUCACUCGGAUUGCACAUGUUUUACCAUCCUUUUAUUAUCAUUUCUAUUAUUAUGCUUGUACUUUUCCAUGUUUUCAGGUACAUGGCCUAGAAAAGGCCUUACUUGAAGAAACGAAGCAAAACGGAGGGAAAACAGAGAAAAAUUAGUAAAAUGUACACAUGGCGUUCGCCAUAGAGGUAGCCGCGGGGAAGAUGAUGUGUCCCACGUCCCAAUGGUCACAAAGACUGGGUAUGACCAUUUUGGGAACAUGGCGGUCGCCAUCCUAACAUGGCGGUCACCAUCUUUGAUUUUUGCGCUCCAGUCAAAGGCAGUUGGAGAUUCACCCCCAUGACCACCAUUUUUUCAUCACACGAAUGUUGAAGGAGUUACAUGCUUCCCUAAGUCUAAUACUAGUAUAAAUAGGUCAUAAAGUUCAUUGUUUUGAUCAUCCAAGCUUAGUUGCAGCAUAGGCCAUAUAUUCACUGUUAAAGCGAUAAUUUGUCACAUCGAGGGGUUAUGGCACCAUUGUUGUCAUUAAGUUUGGAGCAUCGUAGUCAUAGUGUUUAAUCUUACCGCCAUUUACAUUUCAGUUGUACCAGAUUCAAGUUUCCGAUUAGAGCAGAUUUUUAAUACAUUUCGCACCACUUUAUUUUAUUUACUUUGUUGCAUUGCCUUACUUACUUUAUUUUCCCGCAUCGCUUUACUUUGUUUAUUUCCUCGCAUCGCUUUACUUUGUUUAUUUCCUCGCACCACUUUACAUUACUUUGUUGCAUUGCCUUACUUACUUUAUUUUCCCGCAUCGCUUUACUUUGUUUAUUUCCUCGCAUCGCUUUACUUUGUUUAUUUCCUCGCACCACUUUACUUCGUUUACUUUAUUUCUCGCUUGUUACUUUAUGUACAAAAAUCUAUUUUCAAAGAUAUACAUUUAUUUGCAAGUUCUUGUUGAAACUCAAUUGCACACGUAUCACUUUAAUAUGUCAUAUCACACUUUUCAAUCAUAUGAUAUAUCGUUUACCAUAACCAUGUCCAAAUAAAUCAUUAGUGCUGGAAUGUGAGGAUCGUCGAAUCGACGGUAUUCCAUAUGUUGUCUCUGUAAGAGUGUUUUUGGGGUUGUUUUGACUUUAAUACAAUCUUUAAGUUAAAAAAAUUCAAUCAAAAUUACUUUUCAACUGAGUUAAAGAGGUGGUUACAUAAAAAAAGGAUGUUCUACUUUAACGCAACAGGCGACCAGUGCAGUGUAAGCGGCUGGUAUAGAUUAAAGAUAAAGUCAGGUUUCGAAAAAUCGAAAGUGACGGUUCCUUCUUAAUUAACUCUUUUUUAAGGAAGAAAACAUCGCCACAUAGGUAUUUCUAAUGAGAGAUAAUAGGAGUAUUGUUGAUUAAUGUGAUCCACGCUUUAGUAUUAUAUUUUUGAAUUCGUUUAAAUGUAAUUAUUUUCAUUUUGUUUCUGUUCCAAACAUUUUUGAUAUCGCCUUAGAUAAACACCAUAACAAUUAGAAACAAUAGAUUUGACUAUUGGUCUAUGUGGGAUCGAUAUCUUUUAGAACUACGCGAUAGACUGUACACUUCCAGUUAAUUAAUCCAAUAGACUCAUAAUCUCGCGAACACUACUCAACCCUCUAAUUAUUUCCCAUUGAUUUUUUUAUCUUUCACUGUGAUAGUGAUGAUUUUUGAAGAUCCUUUUAUUACAAUCAUGAUUCAAGUUAACAUUGAAAAUAAACGAUCUUUGAUACCAAUCCUACCUUUGAUUUUAUUCAGUGUCUGACAUCGACUUCUGCAACAUCUUUACUCCAUUCUAACUUCUAAUUUUUAGCUUCAAGAGUUAUGCUCCAAGCAUACAUUAUGUAGUAACCUUUACUCUGACAUAUCAGUUCCUUGUUUGAGUCUUGAACUGUUUAAAGAUGAGAAAAAAUCCAGCUCCGUUCGUAGCAGCCUUGAACCUAAAAUCUUCAAAAUUCUUCACAUAACAUUAAUCACAAAAUGAACCUCCUCACAUAGAUAUCACACCAUGGGUUUUGAAGCUUAUUCAAACAACAACAACAGUAGAAGGUAGAGGUUGAAGAUGAUGAGAGAUUUUGGUUUCAAACUCUAAACAAAACUUAAAGUUAUUUUUGUAUUUCUUUACAUAUCGAUCUUGGUCUUGAUGAAUUGUGAGUUUCUUAUUAUGAGACUGCAAAAGAAAUAUGGAACAUCAUCCAAAUUACCCAUAAAGGAACUAUUGAGGUAAAAGAGGAAAUGUUGGGCAUAUUAACUCAUGAGUAUGAACUUUUCAUAAUGGAACCUGAAAAGAACAUUAAUCAGAUGCAAACAUGAUUUACCCAUAUCGUGAGUCAUAUGAGAACUUUGGGAAAAUAUUUUCAAAUUAGGAAUUAGUUGUUGCAAUUUUUAUAUGAUUAAUUUGUAUUUGGAAACCUAAAAUCAAUGCAAUUUGAGAAUAUAGGGAUCUAACAACUAUGUAGACAAACACUCUUUUUGGAAAAUAGGAGGAACAUAAGAUGUAUUUGAAAAUGUUUACCAUAGAUGAGGAAGGAGAAAAGAAAAGCAAAAUUAUAACAUUCAAAGUCGAUGAAUCUAACUUUGGUGGUGACAUGUCUCUUAUAGUAAAUAACUUUAAAAUAUUCCUAAGACAUAAGAAGAAACAAAAAGAGGAACAAGAAAAAGAUGAGGAAAAGUCUCCAUUCAUCCCCCACAUGUUUCUUGUGUGGAAAGAAAGGGCACAUCAAGCCAAACUAUCCUUUAGCUAAAAAGGAAAGUCAUAAGAAAUCUAAGAAAUCCCAUAUAAAGGGCAAUAGAUCUUACAUCUCAUGUGAAGAUAACGAUAUGGAAUCCUCAAAUGAUGAAGAAAAAGACAACAUAUGUCUCGUGGAAAAUUAUCAAGAUGACGAGGUAAUCUCUUAUUUUUAUUAUCAUGGUCUUUUUUGCAUUUGUAAGAAGCUAAAAAAACUGGAACAAAUUGUCUCUGCAUCCAAGGAUAUUAUUUAUUUUCUUGAAUCUAAAUAUAAAAACCUUGAGAAAGAAAUAAAAAUUCUUAGAGAAAUACAAAAUUAUCCAGUUAAGAAUUCUUCGACUUCUAACAAAGAGGAUGAACCUGACAAGUGCAAAAAAUGUGCACCUUGAAAAAUGAAAUUUGUGAUCUUUAAAAGAUGUUUGUGAAGUUCACCAAACGAAGAGACAACUUGACAAGUGCAACAAAUGUGACACCUUGAAAAAUUCUCAUGUCUAUAUUAUAAAGUCAUGUGAAAAUAACAUUUAUAAAACUAAUAAUAAAGGACCUAAAAUGACAUGGGUACCAAAAUUUAAGACAUAGGCUUUUAUUGUAGGAGUGCUUUACAGUUUUGAAUGCUAAAUGAUACCUUGGUAGCGAUUGCUCAAAGUAAUUUACGGGUGAUAAAACUUUAUUCUCCUCCUUAUUUCCCAAGAAGGGAGGUUUUGUUUCCUAUGGUGAUAAUAAUAAGGGAAAAUUUUAGGUUUUAGCACUGUUGUUAAGUCCUCCGGUCUAACGAUUAGGGAGUUCUUUUGAUUAAAGGGUUAAAGCAUAAUUUACAUAAAUUAAGUCAAUAUAUGACAAAGGUAAUAAUGCAACUUUUGAUUCUUCUAGUUGUAGGAUUAUAAAAUCAAAAUCAAAUGAAACUUUGUUUAUGAGGUCAAGAAGUGGAAAUACCAACACAAUGGAUUUAAAUUAAAUUUCUUCAAAUGAUGUAUGUCUCCUAAGUAACAAGGAUGAAUCUUGACUAUGUAAUAGGAGAAUCUCUCACAUCCAUGUGGACCACUUAAGCAUGUUGGUUUGCGAGGAUCUAGUAGAUAGCCUGACAAAUUUAGAUUUUGAAAAGAAGAGAUUAUGUGAUGCGUGCCUAAAAGGGAAGCAAGUAAGGACCUCUUUUAAAGCAAAAAAUAUUGUUUACAACAUAGGACCUUACAACUACUUCACAUGGAUCUUUUUGACCCAUAUAGAAUGGUAAGUCUUGGUAGAAAUGUCUAUUCCUUUGUAAUUGUUGAUGACUAUUCUUGCUACACCUGGACAUUAUUCUUAUCUCAGAAAAGAGAUGUAUUUACUACCUUUAAAAAACUAUCCAAGAUUAUCCAAAACGAAAAAAGGAGUAAGUAUUGCAUCCAGUAGAAGUGACCAUGGAGAAGAAUUCCAAAAUAAGGAAUUCGAACAAUUCUAUAACAAGAAUGGUAUUUAGCACAUCUUUUCCACUCCACAAACUCCCAAACAAAAUGGGGGUAGUGGAAAGGAUAAAUAGAUCUCUAUAAGAUCUUGCAAGGAUGAUGUUCAAUGAGACUAUUUAUGAGUCGACGCAGUAAGCACUGCUUGUUAUGUUAUGACUCGUGUCUUGAUAAGACCAAUUCUAAAGCAGACGCACUAUAAAUUACAUAAAGGAAGAAAACCAAAUAUCUAUCACUCACAUGUUUUUGGAUACAAGUGCUUUAUCCUUAACAACGUGAAAGAUAAACUCAGAAAAUUUGACGCAAAAGUUAAUUCAUAAGGUAUUCCACUUCAAGAAAAUAUUUUAAAGUAUUUAAAAAAAGAAUCCUAACAACUGAAGAAUUGGUUCGUGUUACUUUCAAUGAAACUAACCCUAAGACAUUAUAAGUAGAAGUAAUUGAUUGUGAAGGUAUCUUAGAAAAGAUAAAUCUAGAAGAAAAUGAUCAAGAAGCUGAGCAAAGUCAAAGUCAAAGUCAGAAUCAAAUCAUAGAUGAAGAAUCUAUUCGUGAUCAAAUCAUAUAUACUCCUUCAGAUCCUCAAAAUCUUCCAAAAGAAUGGAGGGUGACAAAACCCAUUCAAAAUGUUAUUGGAGACAUAUCUAAGGGAGUCGCUCUUAGAUAAUCCCUUAAUAAGGUAUGUAACUUUGUGGCUUUUGUUUCACAAAUUGAGACAAAAGGAAUCAAAGAAGCUUUCGUUGAUGAAAAUUGGUCUCUUGCCAUGUAAGAAGAGUUAAAUCUAUUUGAAUGAAGCAACGUUUAGGAACUUGAUCCAAAGCUUCAGCUAAUUUAGUGAUUGGUACUUGAUGGGUCUUUUGAAACAAGCUGGAAGAAGAUGGGAACAUUUUAAGAAAUAAAUCCAAACUCGUUGAUAAGGGUUACAAUCAACAAGGAGGAAUAGAUUUCAAUGAAACACAUGCUCUUGUCGCUAGAUUAGAAGCCAUAAAGAUAUUAUUAUCCUUUUCUUUCACAAUGAAUUUCAAACUAUUUCAAAUGGAUGUGAGAAGAACUUUUCUAAAUGUCUACAUCCAAAAGGAGGCAUAAUUUGAUCAACCUUCAGGUUUUAUCAACUCAAUCUUUCUUAGUCAUAUUUUUAAACUCAAGAAAGCCUUGUAUGGUCUGAAACAAGCUCUUAGAGCUUGGUAAGAUCAUCUAAGAAAUUUUUUUCUUGAAAAAAAGUUCCAAAGAGGAAAAUUAGAUAUAACUCUUUUUAUCAAGAAAGCCAAACAUUACAUUUUAUUAGCUUAGAUUUAUGCCGAUUAUAUCAUAUUUGGUGCUACUAAUGAAUCCUUGCGCGUGAAUUUUUCAUAAAUGAUGCAGAACAAAUUCGAAAUGUCGAUGAUAGGGGAGCUUUGAUACUUCAUAUGAAUUCAAAUCCAUCAGACUAAGGAAGGAACCUUCAUCAAUCAAGCCAAAUAUUGUAAAGAAUUACAAUAGAGAUUUUACAUGGAGAAGUCGAAAGUAAUAUCAACUCCAAUGUCAAUAUCAUGCAACCUCAACAUGGAUGAAAAAUGGAAAACCAGUUCAAGAAAUUAAAUACCGAGGUAUGAUAGACUAUCUUUUAUAUCUCCCUGCAUCCCAUCCUAAUAUCAUGUUUGAUGUAAGUCUCUGUGCUCGAUUUCAAGCAUUCCCUAAAGAAUCACAUCUUAGUGAGAUCAAAUGCAUAAUGAGAUAUCUCACUGGCACACAACAAAUAGGUUUAUGGUACUCCAAAGGAGCAGAUUAUGAUUUAGUUGGAUACACCGAUUCUAAUUUUGUUGGGUGCAAAUUGGAUAGAAAAGUACCAACGAUACAUGUCAAUUACUUGGGAACUCGCUUGUCUACUAGUAUAGCGAGAAACAAGAAAGUGUUGCAUUAUCCAUAAAUGAGGAAUAAUACGUUGAUGUGUAUGGUCGUUGCUUUCAAAUUAUCUAGAUGAAAUAUCAACUCAGCGAUUAUAACUUUAAUCUUGGAUAUGUCAUGAUAAGAUGCGAUAACACUAGCUCUAUAAACCUCACUAAAAACUCGAUUCUCCAUUCUCGGGCUAAACAUUGAGAGUAAGUACCACUUUAUUAGGGAUACUGUUGAAAAUGGGAUUGUAUGCUUGAGUUUGUGACCUUAUCUAAUCAACUCGCAUAUAUUUUUACAAAACCUCUCCCUAAAGAAAGUUUCUUCUUCUUAAUAACUGAAUUAAGAAUCCAAAAUAAAUCAUGCAUGGAUUAUUAUGCUUAUGUGCUACUACUUCUUCUUCUUAUUAUUAUUAUUAUUAUUAUUAUUAUUAUUAUUAUUCUCCCCUUUAUCUAUAUGUUGAUCUAUGUGUUAUGUCUCUUUCCCUCAUUUUUUUAUUAUGACAAAGCAAGAGAAGUAUUCUCUCAUAGGGAGUAGAGUAUACUCUCUACUCAUGUGAGGGGAGUUUAAUCACUCCAAAUUUUAUCUACCUAUUUUUUUUCUUUUACCGCCUCCUAAGAUAUGUGUUUUCAUCAUCAAGAAAGGGAAAUAAUAUGGAUCUAUGCUUGCAGGUAUGAAGUUGAUGAUCCCGUUGACAACCUUCUUAAAUGCUUUAAUAACGAGAACAUUAAUGACUACUGAAGUCGAUGGUAAUAUAUUUCCAACUCGUUGAUGACGAUGAUAAACUUGAAGACACCUCAAUCCUCAUCAUGUAGAAUACUUAAUAUUCUACUGAAGUUUUUAUAUGAUUGUUGCAUAUGUAAAAGGAACUAGAAAGCCUCAAAGUUGUGAAAGAGAGGAAGUUUAAAAAAUCGUCUGGUCGUGUCUGAGUGACCAAAGUCUUGUGAAAGUGGGAGUAGCUCCUAAGAUACUAAGGCAACUCUCUCUCUCUCUCUCUCUCUCUCUCUCUCUCUCUCCAACUAGGUUUGAUACUUAGCCUCUCGAGCCAAUUCCAUCUUACUACCUUGCAGCGCAGCUACCAAAAGAUACUCAUGAGAAACUUUAGUAACAUGCCACCACAAAAUCAAACAUAUUAUCAUAUUAUUAACCAUAUGUUAAAUCAUUUAGGCAACAAUAUCAUGUCAUUAACCUUAUGUUAUAAUCCUUUGGGAAAAACGUGGAUGACGAUUAUGAAAGUUCAAUCACGUUAUCGUAUGGUAUCGUUUUCUUGAUUUUGAUGUUUUUGUCAAUUUUUGUGUAUAUGAUAAUGUUUACUCGCUUAUUUGUAAUUUGUUUCUUAUUCAAAUAUUUAUGUGUUUGUAAUUCUUUCGUAAUUUGAGUUGCAUUGUGUUUACUUCGGCUAUACAUUAUUGCAUCACUAAGACCCUUCAUUAUUCACUAAAUUAGAGUUUUGAUCCAUGACAAUGUUCCUUUUUUAGCCCAACAUAUUAUUUUUUGUUGUUUCAUCAGGUGUUGCUUGAACCACAAGGUAGAACACUUCGAUCAUUGUGUAAAGUCAUUUGAUUCAAAUCAAGUGUUAUGUAUGACUGAAAUCAUAGACAAUGUGAAAAUUGGAAUUUGCUUCUGGACGAUUUGACUCGAAUCAUAAAUUUAACUUGACUUGAAUCACAACCUAAUGUGACUCGAAUCAUGUUUUAGGGUGAUCUUUCCAUCCAGGUUUGUAAGUGUUGGAAUAAAGAUUAUUCUUAUGAUUUUUUUUAUAUUGAGCUUCAUUCACUCCUUCUAGUACACAACUGCCAUUAGCAUGUCAUUCUUUUCAAAAAUCACACUAUAGUGUCUGAACCGGACUAACAUUGGAUGGAACAAUAGUGCCUCUAGCUAACUAUUUUUAAAUCACAUCUAGUUGAACUAACACUGCAUUAUUUGCAUCCAAUUUUAGUACACCAUUUGGUUUGACUCCCCUUUCACUUUAUGAGCGAUUUUCAUUCAGGAAAUUUUUUUCUAUCAACUAUUUCACCUCGUUUUCAUUCUUCAUUUUGAUGGUACCUCCAGCUGAGGCAUCCAAAAGCAUUCUUGCUUGAGCUUCGAGUCCUCUUGUGAAAUAUUACAUCCGUUUCAUACUACUCACGUUGCGAUUUGGACAUCUUUGGAGUAAUAUUUAGAAUCUCUCACAUGUAUCAGAUAAGAACUCGACAUUACAUAGUUCAAAAUUUGAAAGCUCGGUUCUUCAUUCCACAAACUUAGUGUUCGCGAUUUUUUUUCCAAAAAUUUGUCUUCCGACUCCUUCCAUGUUUGAAUAGUACUGUUGGGUAGACACUACAACCAAUAUUUAAUUAUGCCGACCAGAGAAAAUUUGAACAACCUUAAUUUUAUUUGAUCAUCAAUUGCUCUAUAUGGUUUGCACAUCCAAAUGCUCUCACAGAUCUCUAAUAGCAUGUAUGUCGAAUGAGUUAUCUCUCAAAUCUGAAAGCACAUAAUUCUUAACAUCGAAAGUAACAAGGUUAGCAGGUUGAAAUCCCAAAGAAAUAUGUCCAACACCAGUCCUCCUGCAGUAGUCUCCCAUCAUUUAUCUCAGUGGAAUAGUCAUUUCUUCUUUCUCUUGAUCGCUUUUGUUUUAUAAGAAAUGGGUGUUUUCUUUUCUUCCAGUUUCUCUUUAGCUCAUUGUGCUUCUAUAUUUUCUCUCUGAAUUGAUCUUCGAGUCUUUUUGACCUCUAGAUUUAGUGGUAUCAAUGUCGAACUUGAACCUCACAUAAGCAAUCAGAAAAUACCUUAGUAGCACUGCAACAAACAAAAACUGAAUAAGAGUAAAAAUAAAAAUAACAACAAAAUAACAACAAAAAAACAAAAAAACAAAAAAACAUAGCACACAAUUUUUUUUGUUGAAAUAAUUUGAAAAUCCCUAGCAUUGAUACCAAAAACUUGAUAAACUUUUAACUAGUGUACUAAAUAAUAUUGAAGUAAUAAAACAAAUUCAUAUACAUGGAGAUUGUUUUAUCUUAACAAGGCGAUUAAGGUGCUAUUCUAAAUUAAAUUGGUGGUUUUAAAUAGUGAUUUCUUAAAUAAAAAAUUGUUGGAAAUUUAAUUAGAAUAAAUACGAUUAGGCAUUGCUUCGAAUCCCCUAUAUAUCACUCUUGAUGUCGAUGUCUAAUUGCCCUAAGUGACUCCUCAAUUAUUACGACUAUUUAACUUAGCCAUUAUAGCAAAUUCCUUGGUGUCUAACUCAUUAUUCUACACUACACUCCCUAAUCCCUUAGAUCAGUGGACUAGUUUAAAAAAGCAAUAUUUUGUACAUUAAAUCUUAAGUCAUAACUUAUAAAUUCUUAUCUCUAAUCAAUUACUAAAUUGAAAAGUUAAUUUAGAUUAGAUUCAUAGAAUAGGGUUAGUAAUCACUAUGAUUUAUAAGUUCAUUAUAUGAGUUCAUCAACACAUAUAAGAAAAUGAACACAAAAAUAACUUAUUUAUAAACUAAAUUAAUCAAAUGUGCAAAGAGUAAAAAACUCAAACAUAUGUUCCAAUAGGUUCAUAGCGGUUCAUCUAGUAAGCCCUAAUCAAUAGAAAAUUAGCUACUCAUAAUGAUAAUAAUCAUAGUUGAAGAAAUAAAUAGACAAUACGUGAAUCUUCGGUUAGAAAUUGGCUCCCACCGAUGAAAACAUUUGCUAUAGAGCUCAAAAACUUGUCUUGCCAUCAAAAUUUAUGUACCAAAAACGUCGACACCUUUUUCUCUAAAAUUUCUCCUAUAAAUAGGAAAAAAAACGUGUGACAGAAAAAGGAUGUCAUCGCAUCGUGAUACCUUUAUAUUACGCCACGAUAAGGUGUUCAUCUUGUCGCGAUGUGGCAACAAUUUCUCCAUGGGCUUUUUGUUGAUUUUCUUCAUAUUUCUCUUAUUUAUCCUCUUUCCUUCCUAAGUCUUUCACUUCUUCAUUUAUUUUCUAAUUCUUGAUCAAACUUAACUAAAAUCACCUGUAAACGAUUAGAAAUACAUGUAAAUGCUUAUAAAAUUUACAAGAUGACAAAGUGUUAUCACAUAAACAUCAAGAAUAAUUAAUAAUGGGUAAAAGCUUGAAUAUUACAUCAGAUAAAACACAAAUGAUAUAUACUUAUUAAUUGAUAAACGGUCUUAGAUAACAAUCUCUUUUUUCUUGAAUUAACUUAUGUUAGAUAUCAUUUGAUGAACGUUGUGUAAAUUGAAUAUGGUAUGGAUCCAAGAAACCAUACUUUUAUAAAUCUCUUUGUGCACAAAACUGAUGCAUGUAACUAAAUUAUGUUAAUAUAAAAUUUGACAUUAAAAGUGUUUGAUAAUAAUGAAUAUAAUUUGAAAUCACCAUAAAAGUUGUACUUACAUGUACCAUAAUUGAAGUACGAUUAUAUAAGCCAGUUAAUACCCUUCACAAAAUCCCUAAUACAACUCUGAUAUUUUUUUUCUAGAUCAUGUUCUAAUUGUAUUCUUAAAGAUUCUCCCAUAUCCUCUAUCAUGCUUGUCAAUAUAUGAAAUGAACCUCGUUAAGGCUCAUGGGUCUCAAUCGAUAAGUGACAACCAUCAAUUUCAAUUGAUGCAUCAUAAAAACAAUAGCAACACAAUAUAUAAUUUUAAGAAUGCAAAUAACAAUAACAUACAACACAUACUUUUAAUCAGACAAAUGAAAAAGGAAGAUCCUAAACCAAACUUAUAUUUACUUCAAUCACAUCCCGAGCCAUAUUGUCCCACAUCACCUUGGUCACACUCUUCUGCAUCUCAUUGGUCACCAUCUCAUUCGUCUCCUUGGUCACCCUCUCAUGCACCUCCUUGGUCAAACUCUCCCCCACCUCCUUAGUCAUCCUCUCUUGCACCUUCUUGGUCACCCUCUCUUGCACUUCUUGGCCCACCCUCUCCUCCACCUCCUGGGUCACACUCUUUCGCAUAUACGUCCACUUCUUUUCUAAUGUUUCCUAUAUCUUCCCAUGCAUCUUCUCCUCUAACCUCUGGUCUACUAACUCUUCAAUUUGUUUUUAGCGCAUAUUGUCACUCUUUAAAGAUGAUCUAAAAAAUAACCUCAAGUUAACGCCUCAUCCAGCACCACAGGUACGCCCAUCAUACUCAUUAAUUCCAAUCAUUUCAACCAAUAUGUCAUAACAUAAUUUCCAAUAUAUUACAACGAUUUUAAGCGAUGUAAAAUUUGUAAAUAUUUGUAAAUAUUUGUUUAUUAUGUAAAAUAUAUGGCACUUGAAACCGCCAUGAUUUAAAAAAAACACCUUAAACUAUGUAUAAAACAAAGGUUUUUGAGGCGUUUAAUUUUAAACCGUUUGUGGUAGAUAAGUUUACUACGUUUUAAAAUAACGUAAUUGUGGCGGAUGAAACACUCGAAAUCUUCUUCAAUAAACCACAACAAUUUACACGCUUUGUUAAGUGGCUCUUACUUUAAAUUUAAAAUAAUUUAAAGUGAUCAAUAAUUAUAAAUAUUGUGAUAUUUCAAACUUAAAACUUACGAGUAUUAUUUUAUUAAAAGUAAAAUAACAUUCAUUCAUUUAAGUUAAUAAAGUACAUCGAUAGGUGACAAUUCAAACUCUGAUUAGAAACAACAAGGAUAAAUUAUGAAGAUAAUUGCAUGCACAUAUGACAAUAUCUAUAACUAUGAUAAAAUUAAGUGUUUAAAAUAUAUGCCUUUCAAUUUAUAAUGUUGCUAAUGUUAUUGAAGGAGAAUGCAUUAGAUAAAAAUAAUUUGUUAGUAUGAAUCAUAUGAACAUGCUAGGAAACACAAAAAUAAGACAACUUUGCUGAUCAAAACAUAAACAAAGCAAUGAAAAAAAAACACAAACAGAAAAAAUCUGAGUGUAUGUAAACUCAUUUAUUUAAAUUAAAAUGAAAGGGCAUUUAAGAUCAAAAGGGUGCUUCUAGAUAAAAAAAAUAGGAUUUUUUACAAAAAUAACCCACUUUUUCAAGAAAAAAUCUAAAAUACUCCUGGUUUUAAAAAAAAUCCCAAACUACCUCAUUUUUAGAAGGAGUCGCCAAUUGAAUUGGAGACUCCUCUUAAAAAUUGAAUGGAGACGCCAAUUGCAUUGGCUAGGUCAGGUGCCCUAGCCAAUCCAAUUGGCGUCUCCAUUCAAUUUUUAAGAGGAGAGAGACUCCUCUUAAAAAUUGAAUGGAGACGCCAAUUGCAUUGGCUAGGUCAGGUGCCCUAGCCAAUCCAAUUGGCGUCUCCAUUCAAUUUUUAAGAGGAGUCUCCAAUUCAAUUGGCGACUCCUCCUAAAAGUGGGGUAGUUUCCAAUUGGCGCCCCUGUGUAGGGUUUAAGAGGAGGCGCCAAUUCAAUUGGAGACUCCUCCUAAAAUGCAAUUUUUGUGUUAUAAAUAGAUGCGUUGUGUGAGUAAUUGUUCGACAUCUCAUAUAAUCAUUUGGAAAUCAUGUUUGGUGUUCCUCGCCGAUACGGAAAGGUGCUUUAUGCGAGAGACAAACCUCAGAUGCUGAUGUUGUUCCAAAACAUCACUACGUUCGAUCAACUGAAGAGGGAGUUGGUUCGUUGGUUAGAUGGGAAAAUACCAAAAGGGGAAAAAUUAGAAGUAUUGAGAGACUUAACAGUAUCUUUGGUUGGGUGCGAAUGAAGACUGAUAAGGAUGCUAGGGAAAUGAUGUUCGGUCGAGACGACAUCAAUUUGAUUGUUGUAAUCAGUUAGAAAUAUUUCUAUUUUCAAAUAGCUUAUUUUGUACUGAUGUUUGUUGUGAACCUCGUUGUAACAAAAACUUAAUGAUAUAUAAUGAUUGAAGGUUACAGAAAUACAAUGUUACAAAAAGCUUAAGACCUAGAUGAUGCUCCUCGAUUGGGACAGUUGUUCUUGUUGUGUCCUGGUUGACGACAUAUACUAUAUAAUCUUAUCAUUUUAUCUGUGGAAUCCAUCUCCGUUCUGAUACGUGUGUUGUUUGGCCUUCCUUUUUUCUUUCUACGCAUCUCGUCAUUGUGCCAAACAAUAUCACCUUUUACCAAAUCUCUACUCCUUUUUAGUUCCUGCACAUUUGUACAAAUGUGAGAACCGCAUCCAGUAUCUAAUACCCAUGAUGCAGAAGUAGAUAAAUUAAUAACAAAAAUACCUGAAGUUGAAGUCUCUACUUCCUUCUUCUUAUCUUCCAGAUACUUUGGGCAGUUCCUCUUCCAGUGCCCGGUCUUACCGUAAUGGAAGCAGGUGCCUUCUUUUGCUAUGCCUCCACUAGGCUUCAAAGCAGCAGUGGAUCUGGGAUUGGCAACUUCCUUGCCCUUCCCCUUAUCACUCUGCUUAGUGGGCCUUUUGUUCUGUCUCUUUCCAUUUCCGAUCAUCAGAAUGGACUUCCCUUUUGACUUCAGAUUCUGCUCGGCAGUUCUUAACAUGGCGAGCAGUUCAGGAAGAGAUUUGUCCAUAUCAAUCAUAUUGAAAUUUAGGACAAAUUGACUGAAACUAUCUGGCAACGAUUGCAAGAUCAAAUCAGUUGCAAGUUCCUUUUCGAGGGGAAAACCCAAUCUCUCAAGGUUUUCCACAUACCCAAUCAUCUUGAGUACAUGGGGACUUACAGGGGCUCCCUCAGCUAACUUGCUUUGAAAAAGGGCUUUUGAAACUUCAAACCUCUCAUGCCUUGCUUGCUCUUGAUAGAGCAACUUCAGGUGUUCGAUCAUAUCGAACGCUGACAUGUUCUCAUGUUGCUUUUGCAAUUCUGAGUUCAUGGUAGCCAGCAUGAGACAAGCAGUUUCAUUGGCAUCAUCGACAUGCUUCUUAUAAGCAUCUCUUUCUGCCUUAGGUGCAGAACUAGGAGGUUCCUCUUCAGGAACAGGUGUCUCCAAGACAUACAGCUUUUUAUCAUGUUUGAGGACAAUCCUCAGGUUUCGGUGCCAAUCCAGAAAAUUUGUCCCAGACAAUUUUUCCUUGUCAAGGAUUGAUCGCAAGAUGUUGUUAGAGGUGUUUGCUGUCAUGGUUAUCUACAUAAGGAUUAAGAAAAUAUAAGUAUCAUUGACAUAUUUAAUUAGGCCUUUAAUUAAAUAUGCUCCCACUAUUUUACUCAAAACAAAUGACCCUCAUCAUUUGAUUCGGAAAAUCCCGUUGGAAGAUUUUCUAGUGGGUCGAGAUCCAUAUUUCACUUCGUUCUAAGUCCGCGUAGGCGGAUUACACAAAACUAGGUUAUUUAGGUAGGAACUCCUUCCAAUUGUAUCUCAUACAACUCUCGAAAAUUUCAGUUGGGUGAAUAACUCCUUAUUCCAAUCCAUCAUAUGGAUCAUUCCCAACUCUUGCUUCUAAACAUAUAUAUAAUCUUAUUAUAAUUUGUUUAGUUAAGUUUGACCCAUUGUUUUAACAGUUGGAUAUUACAAUUAUCCCAUCGCACCUUACUAAUAUAGAACAUGCACCUCGCGUAGGCGAAACCUACAUUAUUCGUUACUAGUCUUGAUGAGUGUUAAAACUUGGAAAGCAUAAACUUAAUAUUUAUUUUGAGGGAAUUGCAAUUUUUCUGAUCUCACCGGCUUGUUUAUCAUAUAAAUCGUCUCUCACAUGCAUCAACAUACAUUCACAUGCAUCAACAUACAUACAAACAAAAUGAAACAGUUAUGGCCCCUAGCGCAAUUGUUCUCCCAAGCCAAUGAGAGAACCUAAGCUAACCUACAACGAUCUAAGCUUCUCCAAGCAAGAUCUUCAAGGUUGUCCUCCUUUGGCACUGACUUCUUUGCUUUCUUCAUAUCAUUACAUUACAUGAAAGAAACUCGUUUUACAUACGAGGGAGUGAGAUGAGAAAAGAAGUUACAUUUGGGAGAUUAAGAGAGAGGCACAACACGCAGGUCGUAUUUUAAAAACCCAAAACAAAACAAAGGAAAACUAAGGCCAUAACCGAUCACCACAAGACAAUAAUAAACACUUUAUUAUUAUUAUUAAUUCCUUUAAUUAAUUAAAAUCAAAUUAAAUUUCGACGACCGAUCACACUACGCAGAGUUAGCCGGGGGUCCGCGUAGUUUUCGUAUCAACACUUGAUACUUCAAAGCACUUUUCUAGUCGAACGGGUGAAUUUUUUUCUUGCGUUAACCGGUUAACCGUAUGUGUUAACCGGUUAACACUGUUUGAAAACUUUUAGAAAAUUCUUUUCUGCCUUACGUUAACCGGUUAACCAUAUGCGUUAACCGGUUAACACUGUUGAAAAAUUUCUUGGAAAACUGUUUUUCGCCUUGCGUUAAUCGGUUAACCAAAUACGUUAACCGGUUAACACUGUUUGAAAAUUAAAAAAAAAUUAUUUCGUAUUGCGUUAACCGGUUAACCAUACGCGUUAACCGGUUAACACUGUUCGGAAAAGUGUUUAGAACGCACAACUCUUGUGCAGUCACAACCCCAAUCGCAUAACUCUCUGACAACACAACCCUUGUGCCGUCACUAACCCUGAUGCACCAAUUUCAGACCGUCAAACACAUCUCGAUUGUUGAUUCAGUAUGAUUGAUCAACACGUCAUUGCUUCACCAUACUAAUGUCGGAUCAAGAAGCAAACGACCAUUGAUCGCUCAAAGGAAAACAAUCAUUGAGUGUUUGAAUGAACGAAACGAGAACACUAUAUCAUAUAUAAUGUAUUUUGCAUCAGGAUUACAUAUAUCAUAUAUAUGUAACUUGAUCGAUCUCAAUUUAAUCUUUGAUUCAUUCUGUCUUUAAUCAUAUUAUUACAGAACAAAAACAGUUAUCAGAUUCAUGGUUUCGUAAGUGGCUCUGAUACCACUGAAGGAGAAUUGCCAUCCAAGGCGCAGCGGAAUUUAAAAAUUUCUCCAUUUAGUGAUCCUUACGAAUGGGCAUGAUCAGUGAUAGAAUCGUUACCUCUUGUGGCGAUUCAAACCUUUGGUGCAGAUCUCUGAUAAUGAUCAAAACCUUUGAUACAGAUCCACGGGGCGAUCACGAACGUUGAACGAUGACAACGUCUCUACUCAGUCCACACGAACGGAUUCCUUCAAUCGCAGUGCUAGCUGUUAUGAAUGAAGGCUUUGAGUGAGAGAAAGAGAGAUACGAAAUUCCAACUCUUCAGUUGUGUUGUAUUCCCAUACAAUGCUUCUGCACAAGAGUUCUAUUUAUAGAACCACUUGUGUGGGCUUCAAGCCAAAAAGCCCACUUAAGUGCAUUUUGGCCCAUAUCUCAUAAUAUGCCAAAAUCACUUAAGUAUUUGGUACCUUACCAUAUUUCGUAUCCCACUUAAGUGCACCGUACCUUACGGUGUUCCUUAGUUACUCUAUCUCUCAUCAAUCCGUCCUUUGUGUGUGACCCUGUAGGUUUUCGCGGCGUUGGCAAUUAUAUUAAAUCACGCAUUUAACAUAAUAAACAGUGAGCGGUAUCUAGCAACACAUCACUGCUACCCAAGUCACGAAAAUGUCAUGUGAUCUGACAAAACCUCCUGUGAUAAUAAUUAUGUGUAUAAUUACCCCUUUGCCCUUAUGUCUAUAUUGAACACAAGGUAUAGACCGUGUCACCCUUGUCCAGUUCAAUAUUGGGCCCAUAGACAUUUAUCCUGUUACGCAGGAUUGGCAAAUUCCAUCUAGGACACUCAUGUCCCUCAGCAUGCUUCGUGGAGUACCCAUCAACUGUCUUUAUGGUUAUCCAGUUACGGACAACGUUGGAUCAGCAAUAAAGCACUCGACUCUACAUCUAGGAUCCAUAGUGGUUUCAGGUCGAAGAGUGGUAUACACUAUUAUCACCAUGAGAAUAACUUAUGACACUUUGCAUAACUUUCUAUAUAGUAUUCUCAUAGCGGGUCAAUCCGGUAUAAAUAUUACUCCUAAUAUUCAUACCUAUGUUUAAGACUUGAUAACUCUUUAUCCAUGAUCCAUGAGAUGUGAUCAUCAGUCUACAAACAUAAUAGUCUUAAUGCUUUAAUGUUAUCCCACUUCACAUUAAAGCUCGACUACGGAUACUUUAAGAAUAGUGUCCUUAUGUUUAAUGUGUUCUCAUGAUUAAGUCACACUUAAUACAUUAAACGGACUAUCUAUUCUAGGGACUUUAUUAAUCAACCAUAAUAAAGAAAAUGCCUUUUUAUUAUUCGAUACAAGUACCAAAAGUAUUGGCCUCUAGGGCUUACAUCAACACUUCAUGCAACACUCACUAAAUACUUGCCCGGACAUUAACACCGCACUCCAUCUUUCACAUUUGGUUGCGAACAUAGAAGCCAACCUAUAAUAGGUUGAUCUUACCAAGGCGGUUAUCGGAAGAUUUCGAAUUCCUUUGAAUACCCCGUUCAUGCAUUCCACGAUGUUUGUUGUUAUGUGGCCCCAUCGACAACCUAUGUCAAAUGCCCUUGUCCACUGCUCUACUGGUAUGUUAUUUAGCCAUCUCCCCGCGUCUUUAUUAGACAAUCUAAUUUCAUCAAGAUAAUAUUGAAAUGACGGCUGAGUUAGAGCAUACCUGUCGCGGCGGGAUUUUUCACGAGAUUAAGUAUUGAUUGAACUUAACCCAUUUUAAAUGCAAGAGUCGCCACCGUCUUUUAUUUUAUCCAAAAAGAGGAAGGGAAAAAUAACGAUAAAUCCCUUUAGGUGGACGGUUGCGUUGGGGCUUGGUGUAGUGGCAAGGGAGGGAUUAGCCGUUACAUGGCGUAAUCCUCGCACGGAACAGGAUCACCUUAUGUGACUUAUGGUGUUAUGUCGUAAUGCUUGCUUUUCGUUCGUGUGAUCUGCUUUGAUUGGGAGAUGAGAAAAGAACUUGAUUUCAUAUUGCUUUUGCGGACCUCGGAUAAAAUCGCUUCAGACUUUUUCUGCUACGUAUCUCCCAUGAGGCGACAUUGCGCAGGAAAAUCACUCCACGCUAGGUUCUCCAAAAGAAAAGGGGAGAAGUCUGUUUUGUGGAUUUUUAGAGUUUGGCGUGUGCUUGCCAUCUCCUUGCUCGACCUAGGCUGGGAGGCUUCGAGACUUGAUCACGUCUCUUGGGUGAAAUGUUUUUAAACUGAAAGCCAAAUGCUGGCAAAAGAUUUGAAGUGAGCCGCUAAUAUCCCUCUGAAACAAUAAAUAAAUGGCCUCCUAUAUAAGGAAGCUCCAAUGAGCAGUGUUGUGAGUGUGGUUGAAAAGGUUUUCUUAAACGGCGACGCGUUGGNNNNNNNNNNNNNNNNNNNNNNNNNNNNNNNNNNNNNNNNNNNNNNNNNNNNNNNNNNNNNNNNNNNNNNNNNNNNNNNNNNNNNNNNNNNNNNNNNNNNNNNNNNNNNNNNNNNNNNNNNNNNNNNNNNNNNNNNNNNNNNNNNNNNNNNNNNNNNNNNNNNNNNNNNNNNNNNNNNNNNNNNNNNNNNNNNNNNNNNNNNNNNNNNNNNNNNNNNNNNNNNNNNNNNNNNNNNNNNNNNNNNNNNNNNNNNNNNNNNNNNNNNNNNNNNNNNNNNNNNNNNNNNNNNNNNNNNNNNNNNNNNNNNNNNNNNNNNNNNNNNNNNNNNNNNNNNNNNNNNNNNNNNNNNNNNNNNNNNNNNNNNNNNNNNNNNNNNNNNNNNNNNNNNNNNNNNNNNNNNNNNNNNNNNNNNNNNNNNNNNNNNNNNNNNNNNNNNNNNNNNNNNNNNNNNNNNNNNNNNNNNNNNNNNNNNNNNNNNNNNNNNNNNNNNNNNNNNNNNNNNNNNNNNNNNNNNNNNNNNNNNNNNNNNNNNNNNNNNNNNNNNNNNNNNNNNNNNNNNNNNNNNNNNNNNNNNNNNNNNNNNNNNNNNNNNNNNNNNNNNNNNNNNNNNNNNNNNNNNNNNNNNNNNNNNNNNNNNNNNNNNNNNNNNNNNNNNNNNNNNNNNNNNNNNNNNNNNNNNNNNNNNNNNNNNNNNNNNNNNNNNNNNNNNNNNNNNNNNNNNNNNNNNNNNNNNNNNNNNNNNNNNNNNNNNNNNNNNNNNNNNNNNNNNNNNNNNNNNNNNNNNNNNNNNNNNNNNNNNNNNNNNNNNNNNNNNNNNNNNNNNNNNNNNNNNNNNNNNNNNNNNNNNNNNNNNNNNNNNNNNNNNNNNNNNNNNNNNNNNNNNNNNNNNNNNNNNNNNNNNNNNNNNNNNNNNNNNNNNNNNNNNNNNNNNNNNNNNNNNNNNNNNNNNNNNNNNNNNNNNNNNNNNNNNNNNNNNNNNNNNNNNNNNNNNNNNNNNNNNNNNNNNNNNNNNNNNNNNNNNNNNNNNNNNNNNNNNNNNNNNNNNNNNNNNNNNNNNNNNNNNNNNNNNNNNNNNNNNNNNNNNNNNNNNNNNNNNNNNNNNNNNNNNNNNNNNNNNNNNNNNNNNNNNNNNNNNNNNNNNNNNNNNNNNNNNNNNNNNNNNNNNNNNNNNNNNNNNNNNNNNNNNNNNNNNNNNNNNNNNNNNNNNNNNNNNNNNNNNNNNNNNNNNNNNNNNNNNNNNNNNNNNNNNNNNNNNNNNNNNNNNNNNNNNNNNNNNNNNNNNNNNNNNNNNNNNNNNNNNNNNNNNNNNNNNNNNNNNNNNNNNNNNNNNNNNNNNNNNNNNNNNNNNNNNNNNNNNNNNNNNNNNNNNNNNNNNNNNNNNNNNNNNNNNNNNNNNNNNNNNNNNNNNNNNNNNNNNNNNNNNNNNNNNNNNNNNNNNNNNNNNNNNNNNNNNNNNNNNNNNNNNNNNNNNNNNNNNNNNNNNNNNNNNNNNNNNNNNNNNNNNNNNNNNNNNNNNNNNNNNNNNNNNNNNNNNNNNNNNNNNNNNNNNNNNNNNNNNNNNNNNNNNNNNNNNNNNNNNNNNNNNNNNNNNNNNNNNNNNNNNNNNNNNNNNNNNNNNNNNNNNNNNNNNNNNNNNNNNNNNNNNNNNNNNNNNNNNNNNNNNNNNNNNNNNNNNNNNNNNNNNNNNNNNNNNNNNNNNNNNNNNNNNNNNNNNNNNNNNNNNNNNNNNNNNNNNNNNNNNNNNNNNNNNNNNNNNNNNNNNNNNNNNNNNNNNNNNNNNNNNNNNNNNNNNNNNNNNNNNNNNNNNNNNNNNNNNNNNNNNNNNNNNNNNNNNNNNNNNNNNNNNNNNNNNNNNNNNNNNNNNNNNNNNNNNNNNNNNNNNNNNNNNNNNNNNNNNNNNNNNNNNNNNNNNNNNNNNNNNNNNNNNNNNNNNNNNNNNNNNNNNNNNNNNNNNNNNNNNNNNNNNNNNNNNNNNNNNNNNNNNNNNNNNNNNNNNNNNNNNNNNNNNNNNNNNNNNNNNNNNNNNNNNNNNNNNNNNNNNNNNNNNNNNNNNNNNNNNNNNNNNNNNNNNNNNNNNNNNNNNNNNNNNNNNNNNNNNNNNNNNNNNNNNNNNNNNNNNNNNNNNNNNNNNNNNNNNNNNNNNNNNNNNNNNNNNNNNNNNNNNNNNNNNNNNNNNNNNNNNNNNNNNNNNNNNNNNNNNNNNNNNNNNNNNNNNNNNNNNNNNNNNNNNNNNNNNNNNNNNNNNNNNNNNNNNNNNNNNNNNNNNNNNNNNNNNNNNNNNNNNNNNNNNNNNNNNNNNNNNNNNNNNNNNNNNNNNNNNNNNNNNNNNNNNNNNNNNNNNNNNNNNNNNNNNNNNNNNNNNNNNNNNNNNNNNNNNNNNNNNNNNNNNNNNNNNNNNNNNNNNNNNNNNNNNNNNNNNNNNNNNNNNNNNNNNNNNNNNNNNNNNNNNNNNNNNNNNNNNNNNNNNNNNNNNNNNNNNNNNNNNNNNNNNNNNNNNNNNNNNNNNNNNNNNNNNNNNNNNNNNNNNNNNNNNNNNNNNNNNNNNNNNNNNNNNNNNNNNNNNNNNNNNNNNNNNNNNNNNNNNNNNNNNNNNNNNNNNNNNNNNNNNNNNNNNNNNNNNNNNNNNNNNNNNNNNNNNNNNNNNNNNNNNNNNNNNNNNNNNNNNNNNNNNNNNNNNNNNNNNNNNNNNNNNNNNNNNNNNNNNNNNNNNNNNNNNNNNNNNNNNNNNNNNNNNNNNNNNNNNNNNNNNNNNNNNNNNNNNNNNNNNNNNNNNNNNNNNNNNNNNNNNNNNNNNNNNNNNNNNNNNNNNNNNNNNNNNNNNNNNNNNNNNNNNNNNNNNNNNNNNNNNNNNNNNNNNNNNNNCAAAUAAUCGGACAAUACGAAAACUCUAAUAUAUUCGAAAUACAGUCAAAAUACCGACAAACAAACAAUUAAAUAGAUAAAAACGCACAAAACCUAAUCGAAGCGAUGUCACGCACAACAGAGAUAAGCGAGAUAAAUACGAGGCAACGAUAUCGGCCAGGUUUUGCUAAAACAACGAAAUACAACACGGUAAGCAACGAAAACACACAAAACCUAAUCAAACCAGUUAUCACGCGAAGUUUAAGAAAUUGAGAUGAAUACGAGACAACGAGAUUAAUCAAGAUGUGGUCAACAAAGCCAAAGUCAAAUUUUGGGGUGCGACAAUACCCAACAUUCACCACCUUCUUGCGAAGAUUCUUAUCUUUUAUAGCACGCAUGAAGUUUUGUGCAAUGUGCCUGAUACAAUAGAUAUGGGUAGAAGGAGGAUCAUGCCAUCUGUUGUCAUGGUUGUUGUAGGCACUCCCAAUGGCAGCAUGUCUAUCAGAAAUCAAACAGAGAUUGGCUUGUGGAGCCACAUGCUUUCUGAGAUGUCGAAGAAAGAAACCCCAUCCACCAGUCGUUUCACCUUCAACAAGAGCAAAGGCAAUGAGAAAUACAUUGUUGUUGUCGUCUUGUGCAACCGCCAUGAGCAAAGUACCAUUGUAUUUUCCGUAUAACCAAGUGUCAUCAAUUUGAAUAAUAGGUUUGCAGAAUGCGAAACCUUUGAUGCACUGGUCAAAUGCCUAAAAGAGAUGGUGAAAGAUUCUAUUACCUAUAGCACAGGUUCCGUCUGGCAUCAUCGCUGGCAAUGUCUCCAUAAUUGCCACAGUUCUUGGGACAUAUGUUUUUAGUGCCCAUAAAAACUGUGGCAAUUCCUUGUAUGAAUCCUCCUAGUUGCCGAAAACUUGUUCAACAGCCUUUGUCCUCGCAAUCCAGGCUUUCUUGUAAGAUGGAGUAUAAUUAUAUGUUGUUCUGAUAUGGGAUAUAAUUAUACUCACCUUCACUGAUGGGUCUUUAUUAACCAACGGCAGAAUGUCUUGACAUAUCAACGUUGCGCUUAGUUUACGGUGAUCUUGUUCAACGUUAGUUGCAAUGCAACUGUGAGGUGGGUCUAUUGAAGCGAUCUCCCAAGAGUCGUUUUUCUUCUUGUAAGACGCAGCCAAACGAAACUUACAAAGCAUGUUACGACAUUCGAUAACAUACCUUCUAGAAUCAGCGCGUUUCAUUGUAAAGUCAGCAGAGUUGUUCAUGUGGAUUUUUUUGAUAGCCAGAACAAAUUCUUCUUUGGUACGAAACAUGUCUCCCACCUUUAAUUCGCCUUCUGAUCUCGGAUACAGAUUAUAGAAAACACUGUUGGAUGUUUCAUCGUCGUGCAUAUCCAUAUUUGUCAUAUGUUGAGGCGGAUUGUAGACAUGACUAGGAGGUAUUGGUGGUAGUUGAUCAUCAUCUUCAUCGUCGUUGUUCAGCAUGUGAUCAACCUGUAUCUCGGUCUCCUCUUCUUCUUCAUCAACGACGUCCACUUCUGAUUCUGCUUCUGGGUUGACGUCAUCUGACCAUUGUGGAUCAAAUUCACCAGAUUCAUCCUGACUGGUUAAUUGAGAAUGUUGAGAUGGUAUACAUGGUUGAAGAGUAAUGUACAACUCAAUACAGUUGCAGCCUGAAUGUUCAUGACUAACAAACAUGUAUUCAACAUCUUCAUCCUCUCGUACCUUAAGGGGGAAAUACUUGCAUUGACUAUUCUAAAAAAAUAUUAGAUUUUGAUAUGUGAUCUUUGACACAAUACCCGAUCCUAUACAGGAUUGUAUUCUUUUUUUCAAAUGCAAGAAGGUUUCAUUUCUCUUGACCGUGAGUCUAAUGGUAUCGGUGUUUCGAAAAUAAAAACCAUAUAGCUCAGACUCGUAUGUUUCACCGUUGCAGUGAACGUUGACAUUGUAUAAUGAUGAAGAUGAUAUUGUGUAGAUGAAAACUAUUUUCUUACUGCAGAUGAAUGUGAGUGAAGUGUCUUGGAUGUUGAUAGUAAGAUACUUAAAUAGAGGAGUGAAGUGUCUCACAUGCUAGCUAGUUCGAAGUGACGUGUCGCACAUGCAAGCCACUCCGAAGUGACGUGUCGCACAUGGAAGCUACUCCAAAAUUAUGUGUCAACCAUGCAAGCUACUAAGAAGUGACAUGUUCACCAUGCAAGAGAGAGGACAGCCACAUGUCAGACAUGCAGACACACACUCCAAAUGAAUUGGCGCCCCCACUCAUUCCUUGCACAUGGGCGCCAAUUCAAGUGGAAACACCUUAUCAAAGCAUGCAUUCAGGUCUCGAAACCAAGCAAUCAGACCUAGGUCUUGCAUGCAUGUCCCUAUGGAGGUGCUAAUUUGAAUGGCGACCCCUCUUAAAGGUUGUACAUGGUCGCCAAUUCAAGUGGAGACACCAUGCAAGCAUAACUUUUCAUGCUCCCAUCCAUUUGCCUAUAAAUACAUCCACUCCAUCAACACUUCUAUAGAUAACAAAUUCAUUCUAGCUUUAUGCGAAAGAUGGAGACCAGAGACACACACAUUUUGGUUCCCAACCGGUGAGUGUACCGUGACGUUAGAAGACGUCUACAUGCUUUUGGGACUACCCAUUGAAGGUAUGGCUGUUAAUGGUAAAACCAACUAUGCAAAUUCAAUUUGCAUGGAUCUCUUGGAGACUGAUUUGUUAGAUGAUAACGCAAGAGAUCAAGGUAUACUACUCUCAUGCCUUAAGUCGUACUAUAAUAGUUUAUACUUAGAUGAGGAUUCUACCGAAGAUGCUCGAAUAAUAAAAACUAGGUGUUACAUUAUGCUGUUAGUUGGCUCGUUUUUAUUUCCCGAAGGUAGUGGUUCUAGCAUGCAUAUCAUGUAUUUACCUCUACUUAGACAUGUAGAUAGAAUGGGAAGUUACAGUUGGGGAUUUGCUUGUCUAGCCUAUCUCUAUAGCUCCUUGUGCAAAAACUCACACAAAGACACAUCUACAUUUUCUGGAUUUGUUGUUUUGCUACAAGCAUGGGGUUGGUCAAGACUGCCAUCUCUAGCACCCGUCAAUAACAACCCUUUCACAUUUUCGUAUGCACAAAAGUAAGUUGUUUAAAUUGCUAUAUCUUUACUUACUUCUUUAAAGAUUAUUACCUCUAACUAAUAUUUUUUGACUUUUUGGUGUAGAUGGUCUGCACGUGGUAUGAGUUACAACAGAUGUCCAAGACAUUGUAUUACUCAGUAUCGCAACCUGUUGGAUCACCUUCGGCCGAAAGACGUAAGAAAAAUAACUUAAUUAUUUCGUUAUAUUUUGUUAACUUCUUCUACCUUGACUAUAAUCCAAUCUUCUUUCACAUUUCAGUUCAUUUGGCGUCCAUACCUUAAUUUGGAUCAUGACCAUGAGGUCAACACUGAAGACGCGGCCGUAUGGACUGCAUGCACACCGAUAAUACCUGUAGAACCUCAAAUUUGCACCUCCCAUUUGUAUAUACAUUUCAUUUUUAGGUCAUUAACAUCACAUUAACAUUGCAUUGUCAUUGCAUUGUCCAUUGCAUCUCAUCAGGCAAGACUGGUCAGGAGAUUCAACUGUGCAAGGCAACAAGAGCAUUUUCCACGAGAUCAAAGCCCUAGGGUGAUUCCCAUGAGUUCACAUGAUUCAAGGAUCAUUUUGAGGUGAUUUGGCCAAGUGCUGAAGGCUCAGAACUCAUCAGUCCAUGUGCAAAUCAUCUGAGGCCCACAAAGUCAACAGAAGUCAACUGCACAGUCAACUGUGGAUUUGGAGGUGGGAAGUGGUUAGAGAUGCUUCAUUCAUGUUCAAACAAGUCUCAUUUGACAUUUCAAACAUCAACAUUGAAGAAUUUGAAGUCAGGUCAAGACUUUCCAAAAAUACCAGGUGACCUGUAAUUUGAACUUUCCAAAAAUGGAAAGGUUUUGGACCAACUUCAACUCAACUUUCCAACAUCAAAGAAGCUUAAAAUGAAAUUUUGUCCAACAUGAAAGUUGAAGAUCUUUCUCUCCCAUUUCCAAAAAGUCAAAGAUCAUGGAUUUCUCAUGUGUGGUUGAGGAGAUAUGGUCAAAUCAUGGCAAAGUGUGUUUCAAAGUUCAAAUGGACAUAACUUUCAAACCAAAACUCCAAAAUGAGUGGUUCUUUUUGCAUUUUGAUCCUUAUAACAUGUAUUUUCCAAGCAUACCAUUAUUUGACAACAUGAAUUUCAUUUGCAUGGCCUUUGGUUUAUUCAUGAAGUUUUUGGAAGAAAAUUGCAUAAAGUCAUUUUAAUUGAUCAUGAGCAUACCAAACCAAUUCCAACAUGUGCAUGGACUCAUUUUAAGGUAUUUUGGGCCAGAGACAUGUAUUGUUCACGUGCAUGGCAUGAGGGUGAGGUGAAAAAGCAUUUUUGCACAAACACCUUCCAACUUGCUAAUCACCUUUGGCUUUGGCUUAAACAUGAUUAAAACCUCAUUAGCAUAGCAUAUAUAUACUUAACCCCAACUGUUUUUGGUCAUUAGCACAUUUUCAGAUCUAGAAUCACAAAUUCUCAAAAAAAAUCUCUCAAACUUUCUUCCAAAAUUCUUCAAACGCAAACACUUUUCAUUGAUCAAUUCAUGUUCAUGAGGCAUUUCUGAGCACAUUUGGACGUGGAAUCAAGAGAAAUUGUGGCAUAUUGAGUUGGAUUCAAAGUGUGAAGCAUCCAUGGCAAUUGAAGAUUGAGCUAGAUUCGUAUGCAUUCAAGCUUCCAUUUCAUCAUCAUUCACUUCCUUAAGCAGUGUGGAGAAGGAUUGAAGCAUUGUCAGGCCUUGAAGCAAGCUGAAUCAACUUCUGUUCUUCAAUAGGUCAGAAUUCGACCUCUUCUAUUUUGCAAAUGGUUGUGAUAUUCUUGUAGUUCAUUGAUUGGUGAUAAUGCUGAUGAAAAUUUGGAGUGAUUUGGUGCUGUUUUGAGCAAGAUAUGUUCAAUUGAAGUUUUGAUGCAGCCUUUAUUUUCUUCGAUUUGGAAUUGAUGUUGUUGUUUUUGCAUGAUUCAUGGCUUGAUCCGUGCUUACUAUAAGAAAUCCUGUUGAAUGAUGUCCUUGUUUAUAUUUCUGGACAUAUUUUUGUUUCUUGGAAAUUUCCAGAUGAAGAUCUUCAUGAUCUUCAUCGUUCAGCAAUAGGUGUUCAUCAUUUCCAGAAAUUGCUACAACCCUUGCUUCCAUUAGCUACGAAACUGGCAUGUGUAAAUUCCAAUAGCUACGAAAUCCAUGCAGCGCGCGUGUUUAGGGUUUGAAUGUGCAAAACACAGUCGUUUGGCAUGGCGCGCCUAGGAUUUCAAAUUUGGACUCGGCUUCGAAUCCGGAGCGAAGCCAUAAUUUUCCAUUUGCCUGCCCAUUGUAUUCCGAGUAUCCCAAUUUCCAUCAUUCAUGUUCAUUCCACAUUUUUGUUUCAUAAAUUCUUUCCAAAUUCUAAAAAUCAUAUAAAAUUGAAAAAUUUAUCCAAAAUGAAUCUCCAAUUUUUGCAUCAUGAUCGCUCAUUGCUGUCUACUUUUGUAUGAGUAUAAAUGGAAAGUUGGCUGGCUUAAAAACAUGAUUGUGCCUAGGGUGAUUGCACAUGGAUUAGUUGACCCUUGCCUUAUUCAUUUGAUCAUAAAAUGCUCAAAAAUAUCCAUAUGCUUCUGAAAUUUUUGUGUGUAGCUUCAGACAUGUUGAGGAUAUUUUGGUUUGCUUUGUUAGAUAUUUUGCCCAUCGCUCCCACUCUGUUUUAUGCCAUCCGCAACUGUUGUGACAAUCUUGUGUCACACAUGUGCUUUGUCUUGAUUAUGCUAUGUUGAAUGACCAUGCCUAUGAUGUCCAAAUCCUCUAAUAUUUGUUAGUGAUCAUGCUAUAUGUCCUGUUACCAUGAAUUUUGCCAAGAUUAUUUGAGUCAUAUUUUGAUUUGAUGUGCAUUUGAUUCUUUUCUGAAUGUCUCCAAUGUGAUCACCAUUGCAUGCCUUGCCAUGUUUUGCUCAAGAAAUGAAUAUUAUUAAUGAUUUGAUGUGGGCUUUUUGAGAUUGUCCUUGAUGAAUGAAGAUGAUUCAUGUUAAAUUUCAUGUUCUGUUUUGAAAUUUUUGAUCCAUCUUGACCCUAGGCUUGCCUAGUGGUUGGGCUUACAUGUGGUUUUGAUUUCAGGUUUAAGCUUCCAAAUCCAUAGUUGAUGAUGCUCCUCAUAUUGAGCAUGAUGUUAUGCUCUUGAUUACUAACAUUUGUGUGUUUUGUAGUGUUGAUGUUAACUCAUUGAGUUUGCCUUGUGGCUUGGCACAUCUGUGAAUAUUGUCUAUCUGUUUGUUAUGCCUGUUGACUGUUUGUCUGUACAGUUUGAACUGAUUGGUUUUAGAUUUUUCACAGGUACCUAAGUUGCUUAGAGUCAUUGAACUUGCUUGCAGCGUGGUUUGCUUACCACUGAGGAUAAUUCUUUGACUUCAUGUAGUCUGGAAGACCUGUCCUGUUAUGUGGGCAGCCACCUGUGUCUGAAGCCCUCCCUAAGAGGCAAGCUCUUCGUGGUGUUAAUUUUGUGCCAAGCACGGAAAAGACCUCUUAAGAGGCAUUGGCAGAUACAAGGGAUGUGCAAUCCAUCCCCUGCUAUCAGUUGUGUCAUUCCCUUUGCCUACACACCUGUGUUGAUGCAUUGUGGAUAAUAACCCAAGAUCAUGUUGUGUCAGUCAUCUGUGGAGAAGAGUUUCCUACAUUCUGAUGAACCCACACUUUCAUUGUCUGAAGCUCUCCCAGGCCAGGGAUAAGAGUGUGAGGUCUUACCCUCACUCCCAUUCAUCUGCUUCACCCAACUCUCAAUGUUAGGGUUCAGAAUCUAACCACACCCCAUUCCAGUUGGCUUGUGUUUCGGCGUUGAGGUUGAUUUACUCCUUGACUAAAGCCUAGCCUUGUAUAGAGCCCAAUUGUUUGCAUAUAUGUGUGUGUGCUUGCUGUGUGCUGUAUGUAUUUGCCUGUGCUGUUAGGAUAGCUUGCUUCCUGUGCAAGUUAGAUAGAAACAUUAACAUAGGGAUCGUAAUGCAUGACAACCUUCUCGAGGCUCCGAGUCGUAGUACUUCCCUAGUAGUUUGGUCUCCACUUUGUCUCUGGUUAAGGUUUAGAAGUUCUUUCCCUGUGUAGGGGAACUACGUCGCCCUGAUCCUCAUACCAGAUGAGGUACGUAGGCAGGAGAUGAGCUGAUCUCUCCGGGCGCCCUUUUUCUUUUUCAACCCUUUGUGUUGUGUUGGAGCCUGACAUAAGUCCAGCGAUUGGCAGUUGGUUUCCUGUGUCUGGUUUGCUUGUUGGAGUCUGACGCAAGUCCAGCGAUUGGUAAUCGGUUUCCAUGUUUGCCUGUUUGUGUGGAGUCUGACGUAAGUCCAGCGAUUGGCAGUCGGUUUCCUGUGUGGUUUUGUUUGGCGUGUGUUAGCCGAGCUACGAGUGCUCUGACUCUUCUCUGGUUAGAGAAGAUACGUAUGCAUAGGAUGCGACAUCCUAGCGAGCACGUUUCCCCUGUCCCGAACUACGCCGACUCUGAUGUCUGUGUAUGACAGGCUACGUAGGCCCAGGAUGCGAUAUCCUGCCGAGUCCCGUUCCUUUUGUCUUCCUGUGUUUCCUUCCAGCCUUGUGCAGUGUGUGAGCAGUUUUUAGCAACCUUUCUUCCUUUCUUUUGAGCGUGGAUCCCGUCGAGUACGACGGAUGCGUAGGGGUGCUAAUACCUUCCCUUCGCAUAACCGACUCCCGAUCCCAUCUCUCUCUGGUCGCGAGACCAUGUCCUUUCCAGGUUUACUUCGAGCGUUUCCUUUCCCUCCUUUGGGAUAAAUAACGCACGGUGGCGGCUCUGUUGUUUCGUUUUCCCGCCGGUUUUUCGCGUAAUGCGACAAUACCGUUCACAACUGUGGAGAUGCACAACAGUGAUCGUGUGAAGCUGCAGUUCGGUAUGCCCCAAAAUAUCCCAGACCCCCUAGCUAGCCUAGGAGAAUGGCAUUUGCGCAAAGUUAACUACCAAUGGAACUUCAAUCCAUGGCAAAGCUUCGCAAGAUCGGAGUGUCGCAAAUGGAAGCACCGUAAUGACCAUGUGUUAACUGACGCAGUCAUGCCAACUGAAGAAAAACCAAGUCGUACUUAUAUGGCUUGGUACAGAUCGGUUGGUUUUUAGUUCAUCGCCGAUGAUAUGUACUUGUACGACCCACGUCAGAUGACUUACACACCUGACACCUCAACAUCAAACCCCCAACAACAUUGUUAGACCGGAUACACACAACCCCCUGUCCGUCAAACGUUCCGUUCAACCAACACACAAACAUACAACCAAAACAUUUCAUACACCCAACCCCAAUACCAAGAGCAUACCCCAUACCACCACCAACAAAUUGACCAUCAACCUGAGACUCAACAUCGCUUCGCACCCACCCCAUCACCCUACCAAAGUCGCCUAAGCCAGAACAUCCAACGAUCAUUCAACAUCAACCGCCCCUCCUCCUAUCAUAGCCAAGAAGCUCAAACCUCACAAAACCAAAACAUCCAACAACCCUAUCUCUACCAAACACCCCAACAACCUUUCCAACCUUUCCUCGACGCAUCGUUCACACCUAUGUCUCCCUUCAACCGUCCUGGUCGCCCAUCAAUGAGUCAACCACAUCCCAACUUCUCUGGCAUGGGUCAUGAGCUCAGCUACGGCGAUACACCAUCGAUGCAUACUGAAGGCUGUGCCGACUUGUCUGACUACCUCAACAGACCUUCUCCUGUAGUUGGUAGUGACACUCCUGGCCCCUCAGAUGCUCAAACAUCGGUACAGAAUCGUCAACGUGGGUUAGGGCCACGGGUUAGGGUAGCUAGAGGAUGUGGGACCGGAGGUCAGUUAGGUGAUCUCGGUCAUCACCAUUAGGUUUCUUUGUGUAAACGGCAAAUUUUAUUAAUAUCAAGUGGUCCUAUAUCAAAUUUAUCUAUCACAUAUACCAUUUACCAAAAAAAUUGCAUUUUAGGAGGAGUCUCCAAUUGAAUUGGCGACUCCUCUUAAACCCUACACAGGGGCGCCAAUUGGAUUGGCUAGGGCGCCUGCCCUAGUCAAUCCAAUUGGCGCCUCCAUUCAAUUUUUAAGAGGAGUCUCCAAUUCAAUUGGCGACUCUUCCUAAAAGUGAGAUAGUUUGAGAAUUUCCUUGAAAAAGUGGAUUAUUUUCGUAAAAAAUUCAAAAAAUGACUUUUAAUUUUCCAUCCAUAAUAGAUGAUGAAGCAGAGACAAAAUAUUUUUUCUAAAAAAGACAACUAAAUGUAAACCUAUUUUUUUAAAAAUGAUCAAAUUUACAAGUGUUUAGUAAAAGUAUUAAAUGUAUUAAGUCUUUUUUUUUAUAAAAUCAACUUCAAUUUAUUAAAUGUUGUUAAUGUAUAAAAAUUAAUCUCUUAUUGUUUAGGCAACAUUUGACAUAUAUUACAUAUAUAAAUAAAUUCAAAAACACAUUAAUUAUAAAUUUUGUAUUUUUUAACUUUGAAAACUUUAAAAUAUACUAAUAAUUAUUUCCUCCAUCUCAAAAUAAAUAUUAUAUUUUUAAAAAUUCAUUAUUUUUAAAUAAGUACUGUUUUUAAUUUUUAAUAUAAUUUUAAGUUUUAUCUUUCAAUUUUAUUUUUUAUAUAAAGUAUUAUGUACACCACUCUCAUUCUUUAUUCUUUCAUUUUAUAUUUGUGAUAAUUAAAAUAUAACACUAAUUAAUAAGAAUAUUUUAAUAAAAUUAAAAUUCUUUUUUCAUUUAUUAUAUAUAUUUUUAAUAUGUGUGGUAGGAGUGUUCGUAGUGCAGAUUGAAUCAAUUUUAAAAGAAGAUUCUAUUCAAUCCAAAAAUAAAUCUACUUGCAGUUAAGUUCGAUUUUGAAUAAUUAAUUAAAAAAAUUCAAUCUGAUUCGAUUAAAUUUUAUAUAGUUUAAUUUGAAUCAAUUUUUUGAAUAUUAAAAGUAUAAAAUAUAAUUUUUAUUAUGAUUAUAAAAAUGUUAACAAAUAAUAAAUUUAAUAUAAUAUAUAUUAAAUAUUAAUAUUAUCUAUAACUAUAUAUAAAGGGGAUAGGUGAUUUUGGUAUGGCUUUUUUUUUUCUUCCAAUUUUAUCCUUUAUCAAUUGUUACAAUUACUAUCAAUUAUUAAAUUAAAAAAAAAUACAAAAAAAAACUCAUUUAUUAAAUAUAUAACCUCCAUGAACACAUCAAAUAACUUCCUCCAACACAUCAACUAUACUAAAUAACUUCCUCCAACACCACUAUAUAUGAUAACUGCAUAUUUCAAAAAUAAAAACAUUUUUUUCUUUCUCUCUCCACGCCAAAAGUAGGAGAAAAAUUCAUAAUCAUACCAACCCCACAUUUGCCAUCCUUCCUCUUUUACUAUAUAUCUCUCUCCCAUAACCAAAUCAUUUUCUCAAAUUCAUUUUGAAAUAAGAGGUACGAGGCGUGUUUGAAAUGAUACGAAAAUUGUUCAUUGAUUAACUUUUUGAUAUAUGGCGAGAUUAUGUGGUUUUAGGUUUUGAUUUCUAUUACUCUUUUUCUGUGUUUAUCACUUACUUAUUUGGCCUAAAACGGAUUGCGAGUGUCUGUUUGAAUGGGAUGGAUUGAGUAUGGGUGUAUAUUAAGAUGUGUGAGGUUAGAGAUAGUUUCUUAUUGUCUAAGGUGAAACACGUGAUGCUAUUUCUAAAUAUGAAGGAUAGUCAUCAAAUCAACUUCCAUUGUUGAAUUUUGACUUAAUAAUGGUAAUUUGAAAGACGCAGAAAUCAACUUGAAUAUCAUGUACCGCUUUUAUAAGGAUGAAGUUAUACUAGGAUAUUUGUUGCAAAAAAAUGUCAUGGAUUGUGUAAAAUGUGAUAUCUUUUGUCAUAAUCUUGAUCUGAUUAUAAUUAUAAGAGAUUCAUUGUAGCGUCUAGUUCUUAUGUCCUUAACUGACUUGCUCAAUAUUUAUCUGUUGUAGGAGAUGUUUUGAAAGUGAAAGUAAACAAAUUAACAUCAAUAAAGACCCAUCUCCCAUACUCAUAUUAUUCACUUCCUUAUCCUGCACCCAAAAAAAUACAAGAUAGGCAGAAAAUCUUGGGGAAGUGCUUCGCGUUGACCCAUUGAAAAAUUCCACUCUAUUGGUCAGUUUCACAUGUUAAUUCUUGAAUCUUUAUCCAAUUUAUAAAAAGGAAUUCUUAAUGAAAUAUAUAGCUUUGGAACAUUAACCUCGAAAUUGGUUAGGCCACCAUGUUUGAAGGGUAGUUAGUUAAUGGAAAUCACUCUUUAAUAAUUUAAUUAAUUAUAUUUAAUUGAUUGAGUGGAUUGGCAUGUCCACAGCUUCUAGAAUCAUUUGGUUGUUAUAUUUUAUGAAAAAUGCGAAAGAAACAAGAGAUCAAAUGACUGCCACACAUAUUUUCUUUAAAAAAAAACAUAAUAAUAGCAAAAAAAUGUCAAACCUAUAACAACAUACAGAAUCGCCUCCUCUUAAAUUGAAUAUAAGCCCAAAAUUUAUGGUAAUAUAAUAGUCAUAAGAGAGAAGCUUACCGAUAAGAAGAUUUCCUGCUGCAUCUAUUGGUUGCUGUCAUUGAAACUGAUAAGUUAUGUUCAUUGUCGGAUGGUUCCAAACCAGAAAUAGAUGGGAUGGUCAACAUAACCUGCCUCCAUCAAGCCAUGGUCAAUUGAAGAGAAUUUGAAGUUCUGAAGUGCGAGUAGGUGACCCUUCACGCCAAACAGAAUAAAUAAAAUAAUACAGAAAACAAUCAGACGACAAAAUAAAUUGAUCAGAUCAAAAACUUUUAUUCAUUUAAAGGGUUUAGUUUUACUCAUGAUACGACAAUAUUAUAUUUGCAUGACCAUGAACUUAGGAUCAAUAAUCCAAACAUUUUUGUUUCGGCACCGACAUGUUUUAGAUGUGGCUAGAAUGCCUAGCAGGAUUUCAGAAUCCAAAAGUCAAAGCCAACUAAUAUCCUGAAAGUCAUAUGACAUAACAAAACUCAAAAUACAAAAAUCAAGUAAGACUAUGACUUGAAAUUUAAAACCAUCCCACCUUUAAUUUUAAUUUUGGAGAGAAGCAAUUUAGAAAAAUGAAAGUUUAGAGGGAAAUUGAGAUUUGAAUGUGGAAGAUUUUUCAACAGAGUACAGAGUAAACAAAUUCCACAAGUGCGCUUUUAUGAUCAUCAGCGAAUUGCAGAGUGUUAAAUAAUGAACGCAACUCCAAAACAAUGCCCACACAAUUCUUUGCAUUGAAUCUACGAGAUCCACAAGCAAGAAAGUAUCUGUUAUAGAGAGAUUCAGAGCAUAUUGUUGGAACAAGCGGAUAUGGAAAGGCAUCGUAGGCCGGAUCAACAAGAAAAGUUAUCGGAGAAUCUAUACGGUAUCACCUCAGAGGGAGAUAAGUUUACUUGCGACUGUUGUUAUCGCAUGUCACAGGUUCAACCAGUCGAGUAUCUCUUACAAAUAAUGGCAUGACUUUUAGUACAUCAAAAAUCAGCGAGAAGGGAUUUCUAGAGACCUGAUCAUAGUAUUCGUGAGUGUUUUGUUGAGGCUACGAGUCUCCGAAUGCCAUAUGCUUUACGAAGGUUAUUCGUGACCAUUUUAAUAUUUUGUGAACCUACUGAUGUUAGGCCCUUGGAAUGAGUUUUUUUACACAUUAUGGUAGAGGAUUAUCAAACAGCUAACAAUGUGUGUGGAAUCAAACUUAACUAAUAUGUUUUGUAAGGUCUUGAUAUAACUCUUAAACCUGCACGUAAAAGAUGAUGAUUAUGAUCUCCCAUCUUUACCCCUAAUACAAUAGACAGAGGUGCGUCCAAGUAUCAUACAAGAGGGUUAUGCGAUCGAUAUCCCCAAUGAAGAUAUUGAAUAUAUUGCUAUGUUAAAUAAUGAUCAAAUGAUUGCAUUUCAACACCAUUAUGAUGUAAUUGUUCAAAAAACACAGGGAGUAUUUUGUGUGAUGGUCCAGGAGGAACAGGGAAAACAUUCCUUUAUAGAACAUUAAUGGCAAGUUAAGAAGUAGAGGAGAAAUUGUCUUAGCAACUGCAUCAUCUGCGUAUAGCUGCAACAUGUUCCCGAUAGUAGGACUACACACUCCGAUUAAGAACCUAUUGAUAUUCAACCGAGUUCCAUUUGUGGUAUUGAAAAGCAAAAGAUCUUGCAAAUCUCAUUAGAGUUGCUGCCGCAAUUAUUUGGGAUGAAGCACCAAUGACAACAAAAAUUGUUGGAAGCCUUAGAUCGAUCAUUACAAGACAUUUGUUAGCAACAGGCUCCAUUUGGUGGAAAAAGUUCUGAUCAUGGGGGGGGGGGGGAUUUUUCGUCAAGUCCUUCCUGUUGUUAAGAAAAGGGACUAAGCCAAAAAUGAUUUCAGCUGUAUUGUUCAGUCAUUUAUGGAAUCAUACCAAGAUUUUGCAUUUGCGUCAAAAUUAUUGCGAUCAAUUGCAUGAUCAAGAGUUUGCAGCAGAAUUUCUUAUUCGCAGUUGGUGAUUUGUGCUCGAAACCUGACCAAACCACAGUGACAUGGGAGGUUACUUACAGUAUUUGCAAUCCCAUGGGAAGGUGAACAUUCCAUACAAGUACUUACGCCAACAUAUUUUUCCUGAUCUAGAAUUGCAUUGUGUGGGAUGCGCCCAUAUAUGUUACAAAGAGCUAUUUUGACCACCAACAAAUGAUGAUGUCCAGAAAUUGAAUGAUAUGAUUAUCGACAUCAGUUUUCCAGGAGAAGGACAUAAUUGUUUAUACGUUUGACGAGGUUGAAGGGAGAUAAUCAUGAUUUAUACCAGCAAGAAUCUUAAACUCAAUUGCACAAGGUAGUUUGCCACCUAUAUCUAAAAUAAAAAAGAUGCACCAUUUGAUGUUGUUACGAAAUCUAAUCCUAGAUAUGGAUUGUUAAUCGGACCCGUAUUAUGUCGUGGUUUAUUUAUGAUAUGUUGAUGUGGAAUUCCUGACAGGAAGCAACGCCAGAAAACGUGUUUUUGUUGCCUAGAAUUAAAAUCAAACAUCGCAAGUGAGGACUGCUUUUGUCCUUAGUAGAAAAGAGUUCCUGUGCGACUAAGUUUUGGCAAUUACAAUAAUAAAUCACAAGAACAAACCAUUCCAAAUGUUGGAAUAUAUCUUCACGACAUGCUGUUUUAGUCAAUAGGCAGUUAUAUUGUGGCCUUUAUCCCAGGGCGUGUUUCACAGGACUACAAACAAGCAGUUUUAACCAGGAGGAAGGAAAAUUGAAAGGAGAACGAUGCGUGACUACACAAAAAAACUGUUAGUCUUACAAACAAAUUCUUUUAUCGCACCGCAGGGCUAUUUAUUAAGUUGACUUGAAAAAAUUGCCUCACGCGUGAUUCCCAUUAUUGGCUUACACGACAUACAAGCUUAUAUUGUAUUAUCUAUAUACAUAAGAUAGAUAAAACUAAUAUUAAUUUUCUUUUUGCUUAAUAUACAUCCAACCUAGACACGAUUGCAAAUCUUCCAAUUAGUUAAGGGAGGUGAGACGAAAAGAAUGUUUGAAACCUUGCUUCGACAUGAAAGUAAGUUUAUACUUAAUCAUAUUUUUAUGCGUUUAUGUCUAGAUAUAAAUUGGGGUGGGGUGAUAUUAUCUCACUUUCUUAUCAAAUUUAAAUUUUAGAUAUCAGACUUUGAAGAUAAAUGGAACACGUGAAGGAUGAACAAAGUAUUCAUCCAUCGGCAAACUCGACAAAGUAGGUGUUUUAUCUUUUCCGUAAUACGUAUGGGAAAAAAUUCUUGCAACUUUCAUCACUCUUUCACUAACAUUUUAUCACCUCAUUGAAACAGUGUCAACCGUUUGAAAAUUUACUCCAUCGGUUGGAAGCUCCACGGGUAUAACAGAUAAAAACACAACUUUGGAAAUGGGUGAAAAGAGAAAUAAUAUCUCAAAGGAUGGAGAGGUUUUUAUUUAAUUCAUUUAAGAUAUAUUUACUCUAGAUUAUUUUUGAAUGCAUGAAUUUAACUGCAUUUUGUGGUUAUAUAUAAAUAAACCAUUAUAUUUUACUAAGUCCAUUGUUUUCUUUAUUUACCAGAAAAUUCAGGUAAUUCAGAAACAAGUCAAUAAUUGUUGUUCUUACGAAAUCUAAGCUAAAACAAAGUAAUCUCCAAUUCUCCAGGUAUUAUUUUGAGUCGCAAUAAACCAUAUUAUAUUCAAACGAGUCAAGUGUUUUGAAGUAUUUCUUUUAUAAUAUGACAUUUCACAUUAUUUGUAGUUUUUUAAAUCUCAAGAGCGCAUUGAUAAAGGGAUGUACGAAGAAUUGAUUCGAAUCUUUAUAAGGUAAGCAAAAGCUAUAUUACACUACUUACUAUUAUUUUUACUAUCUUUUUCAUUAAAAAAAGUCUAAUUUAAGAGUCUUACAUUUUUUCUUUACUACGAAAAAAAAUUGCAGAAAAAAAUAAAAUACUUCGAAUAGAGAUUUCAUGUUCGGCAUUCCUCUUAAAGAACGUCAUUGAUUACACAGUAUCAAUAUUACUUUGCAUGUUUCGAUAUAAUUUUGAAUAUCUUUAUUUACGGUUUUCAAAAUAUAUUAAUAUUAUUUUUAAUGUGACCUACAGUAAAAACCUCAUAAAAAGAAACAAAUAUUUAUUUUCCUCUACGCUGUGCGCAUUAAAAAAAGCGGACAGACGGGCACGGGAGUGCCCGUCUGAACGCUAGUAAAAUAAGAAUGUCGAUAAUUGUUGAAACAAAAAAAUAAUAAAAUUAAAUAGAUUAAACAAAAAAUGUCAUUAUCAUAUUAAUAAAAAAUAUAUACUUGUAGUUUGAUUCAAUUUAAAUCGAUUUUAAAAAAUUAAUUUAAAACAUGAUUUAAAUUAAACGGUUUUUAUAAAUGAUAUUCGAUUUUUUUAUUAUUUUCGAUUCUUUUAGAUCGAUUUACUGUUUGUAUUUGAAUUUUCAACACUUCAGCUUCAAUGCAGAGUCGUAAAACUUUUGACAUGUUUAUAUGGCAAAAUCCAUUAUUUUUAGGAGUGCUUUUGUCUAAAAAUAUUAUAUUAGUGACAAAAACGAAACCGUCACUCUCAUGUGCAUAUGGCCGAAACCGCCUGCCUACUCUGACUUCCUCACUGAUUUUAUUGACAAAAAAGUCCCUCUCGGAUUCACAAAAUAACAAAUAUUUCAAAUAUAUAUAUAUAUAUAUAUAUAUAUAUUAUAUAUUAUAUAUAUAUAUAUAUAUAUAUAUAUAUAUAUAUAUAUAUUAUCAGUGUAAUAGUCUAUUCAUCAUCAUCCUCUAUUUAUAUUAUUAUUAAUUUUUUAAAAUUAAAGUCAAAUUUAUUUCAAUAUUCAACAUUAGAGUAAAAAACUCUUUACACAAUCAGUGUAUUAUAUAUAUAUAAUAUAUAUAUAUAUAUUAUAUAUAAUAUAUAUAUAUAUAUAUAUAUUAUAUAUAUAUAUAUAUAUAUAUUAUAUUAUAUAUAUAUAUAUAUAAUGGGAUACAAAAGUUUACCUAUAAUAUAUUUUAGGUUAAUAAUUUCAUUUCUAAAAUUCAUUUUGUUAUGAUCGGGGAAUGAGCUGCUUUGUGAGAGAAUAGAGAAUAGAAAAGAUAAUGAGUACAAGUACUAGUUCUCUCUUAUCAACUUAUUUAAUAAAUAUAAUAUUUAUUUUUAUUUUUUAUUUGUACUAGUAUUUGAUAGGACGGAUAUUUGUAGAUUUUGAAAUGAUAUUUAUGAAUAUUCAUAUAUAUUAUUAUUUAAUAAUUUUAAAAAUAUAUUUAUAUUUUUUUAUUUUUUUUAAAUAGUUUCAAUUUUUUACACAAAAAUAAUAAUAAAAAUAAAUCACAUUCAUUUUAUUUCUUUUUUUAUCAGAUAAUUAUCUUAAAUUCAACAAAUAAUAAUGGUUCAUAUUUAAUAAAAAAUAAUAAUAAAUAAGUAUAACAGUUUAUAUAUUAACAUUUAUAAUAUUUAUAUUAGAUAUAUUAGUAUUUAAAUAAUUUUAUUAAUUAUAAUAAAUAUGACAUUCACAAAUGCAGAUACCAUCAAAUUCAUAUCCUUAAUGGUUAAAAAAAAUGUAUAACUAAAUAUCUGUUAUUAUACCAUAAAUUAUCUAACUUGUACAUGUAACAAGUAUCUGCGUGUAACUUGUGCAUGUAACAAGUUUUAUCUGCGUGUAACUGCAAAUACACCUUUUUCCAUUCUUAAAAUCAAAAUACAUAUAAAAAUACAACUUCUAUACAAUUUUUAUUUCUAUUAUCUCAUUUUAUAGUAUUUCAUAUUUUUAAAUUUAAAGUAAUAUGUCAUUUUACGUUGUAACAUUAACAAAGAGAUUUAUCAUUAAUUUUAAACGAUUAAAUGAGAACAUAACUAAACUUAUUUAGAUUAGAAUAAAAGAAUAAUUUCAUAAAAAGCUAAAUGAAAUGUUAAAAACUUUAAUUAAACUAAAGAUUUAUAUUAUAAUAGUUUUAAAAAAUUUUAAGCCGGUGGCGUACACACACAAAAAAACUAGGCUCCUGUUUUGUAAGAAGGCAUAAUUUAAUUAAAUAUAUAAUAAUAUUAUUAUUUAAAAAUUAAAUAUUAAUAAAAAGAUUAAUUACUAUAGACUGUCAGUGUAAAAAGUUUUAUAGUAUCGAUUUAUUACCAUCAUCCGUUUGUAUUACUUUAUAAAUUUUUAAAUAAAAGUCAAACUUACGUCUAUGAUUAACUGACGGUAAUAUUUAAUUAAAAAUUUGAUAAACUAUAUUCUUUUUACAAAAAUCUAACAUCAUCUUUUAGGGCAUCUUUAGUAUACUAAACAUAAUUCUUUUUUUUUUAAUCAGAGACUAUGCAUUCUAUUUUUCUUUUAAAUAGGUUAAACUUUUUUUUAAUUCCUAUUUAUAUAUUUCUUUCAGUGAAACAAGUUAGUCAAUUCCUACUUAUAAAUUCCUUUCAUUAGAAUACACGUUAGUAACUUAUAAUAUAACCUGAUUUAAUUAAAAAAUAUUUAGUAUUAAUAAUAUAUUCAUUAUAACUAAAAAUAUUAUAAUAAUUUUGUUCAAUUAUACAUGAAACUAAAAAAUUAGUUAAGUUAAUUAAUUUUCUUAACUAAUAUAAAAAUGAUUAUAUUUGAUUAUAACUGUAAACAAAGAGAAUAAUUAAGUAUUACGACCGCAAGAGAAAUUCCACUUUAAGCAACUAAUGUGGCAGGUGAGUGAGAUGGAAAUUAAAUUCAAAGAAAAUAAUGCGGCUGCUGAGACAUAAUUCUGUCUUGAUUAAUUAUGUCUAAUAGAAUAUGCAUUGUGACUUUGAUCAUGGCACAAACUUAUCAACAAAACUAUUCAUCUAUUCGUGACUAGUAAACAAGACUAUUCUACUCACACGUUAUUCUAAGACAUUAUUCUGCUUUGAUUAAUAUCAUUACCUUUGAAAAUGCGACUCUUUUUGACUUAAAUGGCACAAAAAUUUGAAAUUAAAGUCCUAAAAUACCACAGUCUAAAAUUUAAUUUUCAAUCUAUCAUCUUUCUUUGUCUUCAUUAGUAGAAAAAUAAUUUAAGAAUUAUUUAUAUCAUAUCUAUUUUUUUAAAAGAUAUCAAAAUUAUAUAUAAUGUAAUUUGUAAUUAUAAUAAAGAUUUUAAUUUUAGUAUUAAUCUUGAUACCAAUUUUUUAAAAUAUAAGUGUUAAUCUAUCUUACUUUCAAAACAAAUCAUUUCUUUAAUAUAAGAUACUUGAUUUUUAAAGAAAAAAAAAAAAAACAGAUUUAAAAUUUAAUAAUGAUAUUCUUUUUAUUUCAACCCAUCAUCAUACACUAUCCAGUACUUACUAUUACUAAAUACAGUCAACAUUGACGUGAAUAGUGCGUGCGUGAACAAUGAUUGUCAACCGUAUACAUGAAUAAUUAAUUAACAAUGAUUUUUAAUAAUAAAAUAAAAUUGAUCAAUAAAAUAUAAAAAAUUGUUAAUGAAGAGAUAAAGUUAGUUAAUAAACAUUCAAAUAUUAAAAAUAAUUUUUAAAAUUAAAUAUAUUUUUGUCCCUAUAAAUAAUCUAACAUUCAAUUUUAUCAUUAUAAAAAUUUUCUCAAAAAUAAUCCUCUUAAAGUUUUAUAUCCACAAUUUUAAUGUCUCUCGCUUAUUUACUUUAAAGAAGCAGGACUUAACAUGCCACGUGUACCCACAUAACUUAAAAUCAACUUUAAAAAAACUAAUUAGGUUGUCUGGUUACAAACCUUCUCUAAAUACCUAAAUUUUAUCUGACAUUUUCAUCACACUGCAUUUUUCUAUUUAUUUUUCCUAUUCAUGCAAAUUGAGUUAUUAAAUUGUUUGUGUGUGUCGCGUGCGCUGUGCAUGGAUGUGCGUGUGUGUGUGUGUGUGCGUGUGUGUGUGUAUGUGUUGUGUGUGUGUGCGCGCGAGCGUGCGCGUGGUGUGUAUGUCUGUGUGUCGGUUAGACAAUGUGAUGAAUGUUUGUAGCUCGACAUUGUUGUCACCAAACUCACAGAUUAAGGAGUGAAACAUCAUCAACACAGUUUCAAGCUUGUCCUUUAUAGAGUUGGUGCACAGAUGAUAAAGAUGAACGAUAAAGAUGAGAGCAGGAGAGAGAGAGAGAGAGAGGAGAGAGAGAGAGAGAGAGAGAGAAUAAUAAACAAACUUCUACUACUCUUUGAAUGAUUACAAAAUGGUUGCACAGAAAAAAGCACACACACAAUGCAAAAGGAAUAAAAGUAUAAUUUGUUCGCACCACUCACUUGUUUAAAUACAAAUGGGACUUUAGGAAAUACUAAAAUACCAUUUAACAAACUUUAUCAACAAGUUUCUACAAAAUAUGAUAAUUAUAACAUCAUCCCUUAAUUCAUAUUGAGCUUAACCAAAACUAACAAACCACUUCCACCCUCAAGCGGAGAAACUAAUCACAUCUUGGCCGCCUUCGUCAGAAUAUCUUCCAAUUGCUUCUAGGUGAUACAGUGCACAACUUCUAGCACUCCAUUCUGAACCUGGUUUCUUAGAAAGUGAUACUUAGUCUCAAUAUGCUUGCUUUUCCAUGCAACACUGGGUUUCUUGGCGAGAUUGAUUGCAGAUUUGUUAUCAAUCUUCAGCUUCAGAGGCCUGUUUACCUUGAUCUUCAGAUCCUUUAGUAAAUUCAGAAGCCACCUGCAUAUUAUUCUGCUUCACAGGUUGACAAAACAACAACUGGUUUCUUCUUGAACACCAAGAAAUAGGACUUCCUAGAAAUUUAAACAAGUAUCCAAAAGUACUUCUUCGUCAACUAUGUUUCCACACCAAUCAGAAUCGAGUAACUCAGAAGUUCUGAGCCAGUUUAGCACCAGGAAGGAAACACAACUCCAUACUUCAGAGUUCCCUUUAUAUACCUCAGAAUUCUGACAGCAACUUGGUAAUGAGACCACUUCGAUUACUGAUAAACCUACUCAUCAUUCCAACUGCAUAUCAAAUAUCAGGUCUGGUAUGCACAAAUACCUCAGAGACCCUACCAACUGCUUGACGUUGUCGCAUCUACAUCAUAACCAUCCGGAAUCAGAAUCCAAUUUCUGACUUGUAUCAGCAGGUGUUGAAGGUAUAGAAAAACAAGAAAGGGUUUUGAAUUGUUUGGAAAAUAAAACUUUUUUAAGAACUUAGACACACCGCAGAAUAAAAAGUUUGACACAAAUUUUAUACUGUUUGCUUGAAAUUCAAAGCUACCCCGUCCACCCGGCCAAGUGAUUUCGCCUUCAAAAAGUCGUUAAUCCACUAAUCUUGAAAGAUUAAACAAACAACCGUCUAAGAGAAUUAAUCCUUAGCCCUCUCAAGUAUUCAGACUUCACAGAGUCACUUGAGGAAAAUAUCUCAGUAGUAAAAUAUUGGUAAUGCACAGUGCUUCUAACAAUAAGCAAAAUAUUACAAAAAUUAAUAACCAGAGUUUUUCACAUAUGAGCAGCAGCUCGUGAGAGAGUGAAAGAAGAUGAUUGAGAAUUUGUAUUCUUGUGUGCGUCUCAGGUUGUUUCUUGUGAUCCGUUUUUAUCUCUUUUUGUAUGAGUUUGAGAGGACCGUUGGGUGAUGACAAAUCUUGGUCAUUGAAGAAUGAUUAAUGUCAUUACCCCCUUGUUUCUUUCCAAAACAGUUUGGGUGGUCAUAACUUCCUUCUAGAAAUAGUUUCUUUCUAAAUGCAGAUUUUCUUCACGUUACGCUUUCUGAGUCAGCGAAUCCUGUAUCAGAGUCUUGUUUAGCAAUGUUCGUCUUCAGAGGGUACUUCUAUCUGAUUGAAUCAGAGUUUUCUUUAAUCUUGACUUCUUUCAGAUCGUGCGUCUUCAGAGUCUGGAUUCAUUCUUCUCUUAUCAGAGUUUCUAACUUCUUUUGUUUUGCUAGUUGCCUGUGUUUGAUCAGAGUCAGAACCUUCUGGUCACAUAUCCUCUGAGUAGCGUCUAAUGUUGGAUUCUAUAUCUGAUGAUUUAAUCUAUUUGAUUGUUUGAUCAGAGUCCUUCACACUUAGGAAAAAUUUCGUUAGGGUACCAUUUUGUUUCAUCCUUUGUAUCAUCCAAAAUCUUAGAGAUACAUUGUUGAACCAACUUUGUUCUUACAAGUGUGACAACAACUUUACAAUCAGUGCUCAAACCUCUUUAGAAGCUCAAGUUCAUAUUUUAGCUGAUGUAAGAUUAUACCUUUCUCAGAGUACAUAAUCUUCAUCCAUAAAAUAGACCAUAUUUCCUAGAUCAGUUAUCUCAAACUCCAUUCAUCAGCUCCUUCUUGAACUUAGCUAUCUCAUGUUCACAACUUCCUGUUAGCAUAUGUCAUCAACAUACAGAUACAUCCUAAUCUAUUGCCUUUAGAAGUAUUUGAACAUAGACACCAUACUUCAUCUCACGUUUCUGAAAUCCUUGCUUCUUGAAAAAUGAAUCAAUUUUCAGAUUCCAAGCUCUAGGGGCUUGCUUCAGUCCAUAAAACGCUUUGUGUAAUAUGUACAUCAUCCCUUCCUCGAUUCUUUUUCUCAAAUCUAGGAGGUUAUGACACAUAAACCUCUUCAUCUAAUGGACCGUUAAUAAAUGCAUAUUUCACGUCUACAUCGAUCAGAGGCCAUUCCUGUUAGCAGUUAUCGUAAUCAUCAACUGGUUGUUCAUAUCUUGCUACAAUUGCGCAAACACUUCAAAGUAAUCUAACCCAUGUUUCUCUAGAAAACCUCUUACAACUAACCUUGCUUGUGUUUUCCCCAAUUGAUCCAUCUGGCUUUAGCAUCACUUAUAAACACAUCUCAAUGUGAUGGCUUCUGUUUCUUUUAGAAGUUUUGUCAGCUUCCAAGUUUUGUUUCUCGCUAUGGCAUCAAGUUUUUAUUUCAUGGCCUUCAGCCAAACUUUCUGCUUGAGAGCUCUUUCCGUAUCACAGGUUAGAAUCUACUAACAUGGCACACUGGAUAAUUCCCUUCAGAAUCUACUUCAAUAUCUUGAAGCAAUGUCAAACUCUCGUAAACCUUCUCGGAAUGUUUCUGAUUCUUUGUGUCCUUUGAAAUUGUUCAGAACCUUCUAAUUCUAAAACAAUAUUAGAUGCUGGAACUCUAGAAGUACCGACUUCAGAAGCAUGACCACUUUCUGAAUCUGGACUACCACCAGAAUCAGAAUCACCAUCAGAAUCUGGAUUAGAAUCAGAUUCUUCUCUCAAAUCAAUCUCACCUUCUGAUUCUGACUCACUCUCAGAAUCAUUUUCAGACUCUGACUCAUCUUCAUAUCAUAAUCGAUCUGUUUAGAAGUUAACUCUACAUCGAAGUUGGAUUAACACUUGCUCCAAUCCCAUACUUCUGACUCUUCACAAUAACAUCCUCUGGUGACUUCAACUUUAUUAGUGAAUGAACAUAAACUUAUAAGCACAUGUACUGUGAUACCCCACCAGUAACAUCACUUGCUUUAUCAUCCAACUUCUUUCUAGUAGCAUCGGGAACAUGUUAUUAACAAACAGAACUAAAUACUCUAAAGACUCACACUUUGCUUAUUCUCUAUCCAUCUCUCAAAGGAACAUUCCUUUAGCUUCUUGUUGGACACCUAUUGAGAACAUAUGCUGCAGUCGCACAACUUCUCCCCACAAAGUGUUAGGAAGCUUCUUCUCCUUCAGCAUGCUCCAUGUUAUAUCAAGCAAAGGUUCGGUUUCUCCUUUCAGUAAGACCAUUGUGUUGAGGAGUAUAUGGAGAAUUCACUUCAUGCUCAAUCCAUUCUCCUCAUAGAACUUCUGAACUCUAAUAGAGUUAUACUCAUCUCCACUAUCAGUUCUGAGAAUCUUUAGAGUAUGACCACUUGCUUUCUCAACCUUGAUUCUAAAUUUCUUAAAUUCAGCAAAUACUCGCUGUUUGAACUUUAUAAGGGAUACCCAUGUCAUCCUUGGUGAACUCAUCCAAAAAUGAAACAAAGUAUUUAUUCCCUCAUAGUGAAAUUUUUUGGAAAUGGUCAACACAACAUCAGAAUGCACUACUCCCAAAGCAAUGCUUUGCUCUUUGAGCCACUACUGAUGAAAUGGCAGUCUUGGUUGCUUCCUUUCAUCACACAUUGGAUGAUUUUUCUAGUUUCUUAAUUGAAGGAAUUCCACGUACCAAUUUUUUGAAUUCAGACUGCCUUAGCUUCUGAAGUUCAAAUGACCAAAUCUUUUAUGCCCACAACUCACUUCCUUCACAACACUUGUUGCACGUACAGUGACAUUCAAAGUCUGAUCUCUCUCUUUUUNAUAUAUAUAUAUAUAUAUAUAUAUAUAUAUAUAUAUAUAUAUAUAUAAUGGGAUACAAAAGUUUACCUAUAAUAUAUUUUAGGUUAAUAAUUUCAUUUCUAAAAUUCAUUUUGUUAUGAUCGGGGAAUGAGCUGCUUUGUGAGAGAAUAGAGAAUAGAAAAGAUAAUGAGUACAAGUACUAGUUCUCUCUUAUCCAACUUAUUUAAUAAAUAUAAUAUUUAUUUUUAUUUUUUAUUUGUACUAGUAUUUGAUAGGACGGAUAUUUGUAGAUUUUGAAAUGAUAUUUAUGAAUAUUCAUAUAUAUUAUUAUUUAAUAAUUUUAAAAAUAUAUUUAUAUUUUUUUAUUUUUUUUAAAUAGUUUCAAUUUUUUACACAAAAAUAAUAAUAAAAAUAAAUCACAUUCAUUUUAUUUCUUUUUUUAUCAGAUAAUUAUCUUAAAUUCAACAAAAUAAUAAUGGUUUCAUAUUUAAUAAAAAAAUAAUAAUAACAGUUUUAUAUUUAACAUUAUAAUAAUUUUAUAUUAGAUAUAUUAGUAUUUAAAUAAUUUUAUUAAUUAUUAAUAAAUAUGAACAUUCACAAAUGCAGAUACCAUCAAAUUCAUAUCCUUAAUGGUAAAAAAAAUGUAUAACUAAAUAUCUGUUAUUAUACCAUAAAUUAUCUAACUUGUACAUGUAACAAGUUUUAUCUGCGUGUAACUUGUGCAUGUAACAAGUUUUAUCUGCGUGUAACUGCAAAUACACCUUUUUCCAUUCUUAAAACAAAAUACAUAUAAAAUACAACUUCUAUACAAUUUUUAUUUUCUAUUAUCUCAUUUAUAGUAUUUCAUAUUUUAAAUUUAAAGUAAUAUGUCAUUUUUACGUGUAACAUUAACAAAGAGAUUUAUCAUUAAUUUUAAACGAUAAAAUGAGAACAUAACUAAACUUAUUUAGAUUUAGAAUAAAAGAAUAAUUUCAUAAAAAGCUAAAUGAAAUGUUAAAAACUUUAAUUAAACUAAAGAUUUAUAUUAUAAUAGUUUAAAAAAUUUUAAGCCGGUGGCGUACACACACAAAAAAAACUAGGCUCCUGUUUUGUAAGAAGGCAAUAAUUUAAUUAAUAUAUUAAUAAUAUUUUAUUUAAAAAAUUAAAUAUUAUAAAUAAAGAUUAAUUACUAUAGACUGUCAGUGUAAAAAGUUUUAUAGUAUCGAUUUAUUACCAUCAUCCGUUUGUAUUACUUUAUAAAUUUUUAAAAUAAAAGUCAAACUUACGUCUAUGAUUAACUGACGGUAAUAUUUAAUUAAAAAUUUGAUAAACUAUAUUCUUUUUACAAAAAUCUAACAUCAUCUUUUAGGGGCAUCUUUAGUAUACUAAACAUAAUUCUUUUUUUUUUAAUCAGAGACUAUGCAUUCUAUUUUUCUUUUAAAUAGGUUAAACUUUUUUUUAAUUCCUAUUUAUAUAUUUCUUUCAGUAGAACACAAGUUAGUCAAUUCCUACUUAUAAAUUCCUUUCAUUAGAAUACACGUUAGUAACUUAUAAUAUAACCUUGAUUUAAUUAAAAAAUAUUUAGUAUUAAUAAUAUAUUCAUUAUAACUAAAAAUAUUAUAAUAAUUUUGUUUCAAUUAUACAUGAAACUAAAAAAAUUAGUUAAGUUUAAUUAAUUUUCUUAACUAAUAUAAAAAUGAUUAUAUUUGAUUAUAACUGUAAACAAAGAGAAUAAUUAAGUAUUACGACCGCAAGAGAAAUUUCCACUUUAAGCAACUAAUGUGGCAGGUGAGUGAGAUGGAAAUUAAAUUCAAAGAAAAUAAUGCGGCUGCUGAGACAUAAUUCUGUCUUGAUUAAUUAUGUCUAAUAGAAUAUGCAUUGGUGACUUUGAUCAUGGCACAAACUUAUCAACAAAACUAUUCAUCUAUCGUGACUAGUAAACAAGACUAUUCUACUCACACGUUAUUCUAAGACAUUAUUCUGCUUUGAUUAAUAUCAUUACCUUUGAAAAUGCGACUCUUUUUUGACUUAAAUGGCACAAAAUUUGAAAUUAAAGUCCUAAAAUACCACAGUCUAAAAUUUAAUUUUCAAUCUAUCAUCUUUCUUUGUCUUCAUUAGUAGAAAAAUAAUUUAAGAAUUAUUUAUAUCAUAUCUAUUUUUUUAAAAGAUAUCAAAAUUAUAUAUAAUGGUAAUUUUGUAAUUAUAAUAAAGAUUUUAAUUUUAGUAUUAAUCAUUGAUACCAAUUUUUUAAAAUAUAAGUGUUAAUCUAUCUUACUUUCAAAACAAAUCAAUUUCUUUAAUAUAAGAUACUUGAUUUUAAAGAAAAAAAAAAAAACAGAUUUAAAAUUUAAUAAAUGAUAUUCUUUUUAUUUCAACCCAUCAUCAUACACUAUCCAGUACUUACUAUUUAUAAAUACAGUCAACAUUGACGUGAAUAGUGCGUGCGUGAACAAUGAUUGUCAACCGUAUACAUGAAUAAUUAAUUAACAAUGAUUUUUAAUAAUAAAAUAAAAUUGAUCAAUAAAAUAUAAAAAAUUGAUUAAUGAAGAGAUAAAGUUAGUUAAUAAACAUUCAAAUAUUAAAAAUAAUUUUUAAAAUUAAAUAUAUUUUUCGUCCCUAUAAAUAAUCUAACAUUCAAUUUUAGUCAUUAUAAAAAUUUUCUUCAAAAAAUAAUCCUCUUAAAGUUUUAUAUCCACAAUUUUAAUGUCUCUCGCUUAUUUACUUUAAAGAAAGCAGACUUAACAUGCCACGUGUCACCCCACAUAACUUAAAAUCAACUUUAAAAAAACUAAUUAGGUUGUCUGGGUUACAAACCUUCUCUAAAUACCUAAAUUUUAUCUGACAUUUCAUCACACUGCAUUUUUCUAUUUAUUUUUCUAUUCAUGCAAAUUGAGUUAUUAAAAUUGUGUGUGUGUGCGCGUGCGUGUGCAUGGAUGUGCGUGUGUGUGUGUGUGUGCGUGUGUGUGUGUAUGUGUGUGUGUGUGUGCGCGCGAGCGUGCGUGCGUGUGUGUGUAUGUCUGUGUGUCGGUUAGACAAUGUUUGAUGAAUGUUGUAGCUCGACAUUGUUGUCACCAACUCACAGAUUAAGGAGUGAAACAUCAUCAACACAGUUUCAAGCUUGUCCUUUAUAGAUGUUGGUGCACAAGAUGAUAAAGAUGAACGAUGAACAAGAGAGAGAGAGAGAGAGAGAGAGAGAGAGAGAGAGAGAGAGAGAGAGAAUAAUAACAAACUUCUACUACUCUUUGAAUGAUUACAAAAUGGUUGCACAGAAAAAAGCACACACACAAUGCAAAAGGAAUAAAAGGUAUAAUUUGUUCGCACCACUCACUUGUUUAAAUACAAAUGGGACUUUAGGAAAUACUAAAAUACCAUUUAACAAACUUUAUCAACAAGUUUCUACAAAAUAUGAAUUAAUUAUAACAUCAUCCCUUAAUUCAUAUUGAGCUUAACCAAAACUAACAACACCACUUCCAUCCCUCAAGCGGAGAAACUAAUCAAUCUUGGCCGCCUUCGUCAGAAUAUCUUCCAAUUGCUUCUAGGUGAUACAGUGCACAACUUCUAGCACUCCAUUCUGAACCUGGUUUCUUAGAAAGUGAUACUUAGUCUCAAUAUGCUUGCUUCUUCCAUGCAACACUGGGUUCUUGGCGAGAUUGAUUGCAGAUUUGUUAUCAAUCUUCAGCUUCAGAGGCCUGUUUACCUUGAUCUUCAGAUCCUUUAGUAAAUUCAGAAGCCACCUGCAAUAUAUUCUGCUUCACAGGUUGACAAAACAACAACUGGUUUCUUCUUGGAACACCAAGAAAUAGGACUUCCUAGAAAUUUAAACAAGUAUCCAAAAGUACUUCUUCUGUCAACUAUGUUUCCACACCAAUCAGAAUCCGAGUAACUCAGAAGUUCUGAGCCAGUUUUAGCACCAGAAGGGAACACAACUCCAUACUUCAGAGUUCCCUUUAUAUACCUCAGAAUUCUGACAGCAACUUGGUAAUGAGACCACUUCGAUUUACUGAUAAACCUACUCAUCAUUCCAACUGCAUAUCAAAUAUCAGGUCUGGUAUUGCACAAAUACCUCAGAGACCCUACCAACUGCUUGAACGUUGUCGCAUCUACAUCAUAACCAUCCGAAUCAGAAUCCAAUUUCUGACUUGUAUCAGCAGGUGUUGAAGGUAUAGAAAAACAAGAAAGGGGGUUUUGAAUUGUUUUGGAAAAUAAAACUUUUUUAAGAACUUAGACACACGCAGAAUAAAAAGUUUGACACAAAAUUUUAUACUGGUUUGCUUGAAAUUCAAAGCUACCCCAGUCCACCCGGCCAAGGUGAUUUCGCCUUCAAAAAGGUCUUAAUCCACUAAUCUUGAAAGAUUACACAAACAACCGUCUAAGAGAAUUAAUCCCUUAGCCCUCUCAAGUAUUCAGACUUCACAGAGUCACUUGAGGAAAUAUCUCAGUAGUAAAAUGAUUGGUAAUGCACAGUGCUUCUAACAAUAAGCAAAUAUUACAAAAAUUAAUAACCAGAGUUUUUCACAUAUGAGCAGCAGCUCGUGAGAGAGUGAAAGAAGAUGAUUGAGAAAUUUGUAUUCUUGUGCGUCUCAGGUGUGUUUCUUGUGAUCCGUUUUAUCUCUUUUUGUAUGAGUUUGAGAGGACCGUUGGGUGAUGACAGAAUCUUGGUCAUUGAAGAAUGAUUAAUGUCAUUACUCCCCUUGUUUCUUUCCAAAACAGUUUUGGGUGGGUCAUAACUUCCUUCUAGAAAUAGUUUCUUUCUAAAUGCAGAUUUCUUCACGGUUACGCUUUCUGAGUCAGCGAAUCCUGUAUUCAGAGUCUUGUUUAGCAAUGUUCGUCUUCAGAGGGUACUUCUAUCUGAUUGAAUCAGAGUUUCUCUUUAAUCUUGACUUCUUCAGAUCGUGCGUCUUCAGAGUCUGGAUUCAUUCUUCUUUAUCAGAGUUUCUAACUUCUUUUGUUUUGCUAGUGCCUGUGUUUGAUCAGAGUCAGAACCUUCUGGUCACAUAUCCUCUGAGUAGCGUCUAAUGUUGGAUUCUAUAUCUGAUGAUUUAUCUAUUUGAUUGUUUGAUCAGAGUCCUUCACACUUAGGAAAAAUUUCGUUAGGGUACCAUUUUUGUUUCAUCCUUUGUUAUCAUCAAAAUCUUAGAGAUACAUUGUUGAACCAACUUUGUUCUUACAAGUGUGACAACAACUUUACAAUUCAGUAGCUCAAACCUCUUUAGAAGCUCAAGUUCAUAUUUUAGCUGAUGUAAGAUUAUACCUUUCUCAGAGUACAUAAUCUUCAUCCCUAUAAAAUAGACCAUAUUUCCUAGAUCAGUUAUCUCAAACUCAUUCAUCAGCUCCUUCUUGAACUUAGCUAUCUCAUGUUCACAACUUCCUGUUAGCAAUAUGUCAUCAACAUACAGAUACAUCCUAAUCAUAUUGCCUUUAGAAGUAUGUUGAACAUAGACACCAUACUUCAUCUCACGUUUCUGAAAUCCUUGCUUCUUGAAAAAUGAAUCAAUUUUCAGAUUCCAAGCUCUAGGGGCUUGCUUCAGUCCAUAAAACGCUUUGUGUAAUAUGUACAUCAUCCCUUCCUGAUUCUUUUUCUCAAAUCUAGGAGGUUAUGACACAUAAACCUCUUCAUCUAAUGGACCGUUAAUAAAUGCAUAUUUCACGUCUACAUCGAUCAGAGGCCAAUUCCUGUUAGCAGUUAUCGUAAUCAUCAACCUGGUUGUUUCAUAUCUUGCUACAAUUGCGCAAACACUUCAAAGUAAUCUAACCCAUGUUUCUCUAGAAAACCUCUUACAACUAACCUUGCUUUGUGUUUUCCAAUUGAUCCAUCUGGCUUUAGCAUCACCUUAUAAACACAUCUCAUGUUGAUGGCUUUCUUGUUCUUUAGAAGUUUUGUCAGCUUCCAAGUUUUGUUUCUCGCUAUGGCAUCAAGUUUUUAUUUCAUGGCCUUCAGCCAAACUUUCUGCUUGAGAGCUUCUUCCGUACUCACAGGUUUAGAAUCUACUAACAUGGCACACUGGAUAAUUUCCCCUUCAGAAUCUACUUCAAUAUCUUGAAGCAUGUCAAACUCUGUAAACCUUCUCGGAAUGUUUCUGAUUCUUUGUGUCCUUUGAAAUUGUUCAGAACCUUCUAAUUCUAAAACAAUAUUAGAUGCUGGAACUCUAGAAGUACCGACUUCAGAAGCAUGACCACCUUCUGAAUCUGGACUACCACCAGAAUCAGAAUCACCAUCAGAAUCUGGAUUAGAAUCAGAUUCUUCCUCAAAAUCAAUCUCACCUUCUGAUUCUGACUCACUCUCAGAAUCAUUUUCAGACUCUGACUCAUCUUCAUAAUCAUAAUCGAUCUGUUUAGAAGUUAACUCUACAUCGAAGUUGGAUUAACACUUGCUCCAAUCCCAUACUUCUGACUCUUUCACAAUAACAUCUCUGGUGACUUCAACUUUAUUAGUGAAUGAACAAUAAAGCUUAUAAGCACAUGUACUGUGAUACCCCACCAGUAACAUCACCUUGCUUAUAUCAUCCAACUUCUUUCUAGUAGCAUCUGGAACAUGUUUAUAACAAACAGAACUAAAUACUCUAAAAUGACUCACACUUUGCUUAUCUCUAGUCCAUCUCUCAAAAGGAACAAUUUCCUUUAGCUUCUUGGUUGGACACCUAUUGAGAACAUAUGCUGCAGUCGCAACAACUUCUCCCCACAAAGUGUUAGGAAGCUUCUUCUCCUUCAGCAUGCUCCAUGUUAUAUCAAGCAAAGUUCGGUUUCUCCUUUCAGUAAGACCAUUGUGUUGAGGAGUAUAUGGAGAAUUCACUUCAUGCUCAAUUCCAUUCUCCUCAUAGAACUUCUUGAACUCUAUAGAGUUAUACUCAUCUCCACUAUCAGUUCUGAGAAUCUUUAGAGUAUGACCACUCUGUUUCUCAACCUUGAUUCUAAAUUUCUUAAAUUCAGCAAAUACCUCGUGUUUGAACUUUAUAAGGGAUACCCAUGUCAUCCUUGUGAACUCAUCCAAAAAUGAAACAAAGUAUUUAUUCCCUCAUAGUGAAAUUUUUGGAAAUGGUCAACACACAUCAGAAUGCACUACUCCCAAAGCAUGCUUUGCUCUUUGAGCCACUACUGAUGCAAAUGGCAGUCUUGGUUGCUUCCCUUUCAUUCACACAUUGGAUGAUUUUUCUAGUUUCUUAAUUGAAGGAAUUCCACGUACCAAUUUCUUUGAAUUCAGAUGCCUUAAGCUUCUGAAGUUCAAAUGACCAAAUCUUUUAUGCCACAACUCACUUUCCUUCACAACACUUGUUGCACUAAGACAUUCAAAGUCUGCAGUUUUAACAUUCACCUUGAAUGUUCUAUUCCUUCCCUGUUCUGACUCCAUAACCAACUUCUGAUUACAGCCAUACAACUUCAAAAGAUUGUCCUUCAUGGUAACUAAGAAUCCUUUUUCAAUUAAUUGACCUACACUCAUCAUAUUUCUCUUCAUGCCAGGAACAUACCAUAUGUUCUGAAUUAACGCGGAUUUGCCAUUAUUCAGAAUCACUCUAACAUUCGCCAUUCCUUCAGCAUUCAGAUACUUAUCAUCAGCACAUAUGAUCUUGAUUCUUUUCCUAUAGUCAAAAUCAACCAACCAUUUCUUAUUUCCAAUAAGAUGGUUUGAACAACCAGUGUCCAUAUACCACCAGUCUUCUAGAGACACACUAUCAGAAUCAAAAGUUAUUAAUAGCACAUGUUCAUCAUCAGAACUUCUGGCUAUAUUUGCUUCUCCUGAUUUCCUCUCCUAGUUUGACCAACAAUCUGCAACGAAGUGGCCAAACUUCUUACAACUGUAACAUUGAACUUUUCUCUUGUCAUACUUCUCCUUUCCCUUCUAACUUCCAAAAGUUGAAGUUUCUGACUUCUGAGACCUACCAUGUCUUUUCUUGGCUUCUGACCAAGACUUCUUCUGGUCUUUUUUGACAAAAGAAGCUUUUGGAGCCUGCUCUACAUCUCUCUCAGAGGAUCUUUUAGUCAGACGCAACUCUUGUGCCUCUAGACUGCUUUGCAGCUUUUUUAUUCUCAUGGUGCUCAUAUCCUUAGAAUGUUCAAUUGCUACAACGAUGUAAUCAAAUUGAGGAGUAAGAGAUCUAAGUACCUUCUCAAUGAUACUUUCUUCAGAGAGAGUUUCUCCACACGACUCUGUCUCAUUUAUGAUUAAAUUCAUUCUGGAGAUGUAGUCAGGUACCUUCUCAUUGUUCUUCAUGCUGAGAUUCUCAUACUGCUUACAUAGAGGCUAAAACUUCACCUUCUUCACUGAUGCAUCACUGUCGUAGCACCGCACCAUUGUGUCCCACACAACUUUCACCGUUGUCGAAUCAACGAUUUUCUCAAAUAAGUUCACAUCCACACACUGAUGGAUGUAGAACAGAUCCUUAUGAUCCUUCUUCCUCAUAUCACGCCAAGCAUUUAUCUGUGUAUCUAUUGUAUUUUAUGGAAGUACAACCUAAACGUAAUCGUCGUUGAUACGAUCAAAAACAUCUUGAGCUCCAAACAACACACGCAUCUGAAUCAUCCAACGAUUCCAGUUCUUACCAUCGAACACUGGAAGCUUGGUACUCAGAUUAUCAUUUCCGUUCAUUUUCAACCUUGUGCAAUACACUCAGAUUUCACCUAAACACAGUGUUUCCUAAUCCCCCAUAAUUAAGAUAUGUGAUUCUAUUACGAUCUGAACAGAAAUUCAACACGGAUUCUCCGAACAGAAAUCAAUCACACAGCGCCUCACUAUUUCACUUGGUGUUUCCCGUGGUAUUUUCCUGUGAGUCUGAACCGAAGCUCUAGAUACCAAUUGUUGGUGUACAAGGUGAUAAAUAUGAACGAUGAACAAGAGAAAGAAGAGAGAAUAAUAAUAAAUUUCCAUUACUCUUGAAAUGGUUACAAAAUGGUUGCACAUGAAAAUGCACAUACACACACACACACGCACACACACAUUGCAAAAGAAAUAAAAGGUACAAUUUGUUCACACCACUCACUUGCUUAAAUACAAGUGGGACUUUAGGAAAUACUAAAAUAUCCUCUAACAAACUUUGUCAACAAGUUUCUAGAAAAUAUUAGCAAUAGAUACCAAGGAAAGAUAGUUCUUCGCAUUCGCAGCAACAAUUAAGGCCUAUGAGGAUUUCAAUGGAGAAUCCUGAAGUCAAUAACAACAACAACAACGGUAGUAACACUUGUUCUCUGCAGUAGAAUAUUCAGUUUGAAGAGAUCAUGGACGGUGAGUUUUGGGAGAAGGGUGGGAGGAGUUUGAGGAGGCUUGUUGAACAUGGAUCUUUGGAUGAGUAUUUUGCAAAUAGAGUUAAGAGGAAAAAGGAUAGCGACGGUGAAGAGAAUUUUGAGGAAUUUGAAAGGGAGAAUUUCAGGUUGACACAAUUUGAUGCUAGAAACUUUUAGUUUGUUCAUAUUUUUGGAGUUUUAAAGAUGGUUGGUGUUAAUAAAAGACGAGAACGAAAACAUGUCCAGCCACAUGAUUUUCUACAAAUAAAGUAAUGUUACCAUAACAUAUCCUCUACAUGAUUUUCCGCUUUCUUGAUCACACCCUGGUUACAUUCAUUUCAAUAGGAACUUUGAUAUGGUAAAGUGAUUUACCAAGAGCAAGUGUAACAAAAUCAAUGGAAGAAGAAAGUGUAUUCCCAAUGCCAAGCUUUUUUUGUGCUAACCCAAACAACACUAGUAACCCCACAUGCUUCUUGGUACAAAUUUUUCUAUGCAACUUGAAUUGUUAUCAUUAUUAAACCUGCACAACUCAAAUUUUGGAAAUCACAACAUGCACACUGCAUGUUCAACGAAAUAAUUGACCUCAUUGAUUUUUGUUUUUCUAUAUAACUUUGAGUGACCCAAUUGGACAUUUAGGAAAGGUUAAUAACCCCACAAUUUAACUAAUAUAAAAUAAAAAUAAUUAAUUUAAUAAAAAUCAUACGUAUCAAAAAAAUACAUAUUUGGUAUGCCAUGUAAGUCUCCGUUAGUGACAACUAACGGGAGAGACUAAUUUUAAGGACGAAAAAAAUUUGUGAGGACCAUUAUUUGAAAAAAAAAUUAAAGGGAAUAAAAUUGAAUGUUGACAUAUUUAUGAGGACCUCUAACAUAUUUAUCCUAAUUUUUAUUAGGAAAAAGAAAUUGAUUAUUUAAAUAUAAAAAUUUGGUUAAUAAAUUAUGAAGUUGAUAAAUGCUCAAAUAUAAAAAAUAAUUUUUAAUAAAUAAAAUAUAAAAUGUUGAUUAAGGAGAUUAUGAAGUUGGUUACUUACACAAUUUUCUAUUUGUAUCUCUUAAAAAAAUUUAAAAAAGAUUUAUUAAUAGAAUAUUUUAUUGUUCACCAUAUUAAUAAACAAUGAAAUACGAUAUAUUGUAAAAUUUUAUUAUAAAAAUAUUAUUUUUCUUAAAAAAUAUAGGAAGAAAAAUUGAACUCCAAGCUCUUUUCUACAAUCGAUUUUUUAAUUAAAAAAUUUAAACUAUUGAUUAAAGAAUAUAUAAGAUUACAUUGUGUUGAUAGAAUUAUAUAUCUAUCAAAUCAGAACCGUCUUUAAAAAUAUGCAAGAUAGAUUAUUAUAUAUGAAUUAAAAUUUAUUAUAAUUAAAUCAUAAUUAAAUCGUUGAAUAAAACUUUUAGCUAUUUUUCCAUGGUUAAUACUAACAUAUGCUAAAUCUUCAAAAAUUUAAAAUCAUUGUAAAUAAACAUUAUAUAUGUACCAAAUUAAAGAUAUGAGUUAGACAUCCAUCUCCAAAUUGCUACUUGAAUAGCAUCUCUUACAAUGUACUUUUGAGAUUUUAUUAUACUAUGGAUCCACAGUCGUAAGUAAUGUCUAAGAUAAUUCUUUUUCUCACCCAUUUUGAUGCAAAUCAGGUAAUUUAUAUUUCUACAAUUAAACUAUUAAUAUAGUUUAAUUAAUGAAUGCAAUUUUAAAUAUAUAAUUUACUACCAUGUUAUAAUUGAGUCAAAUAGAUGCAAACAGCUAAUUCAUAAUUUAAUUUUUGAUGAUAAUUUUUUAUUUAUUUAUGUACUAAUAUAAAUAUUUUUUUAUGAUUAUGUAAACACAUUUUCUUAUGAGUAUGAAAAUAAGUCCUUGAUAUUUAUAAUUAAUAAUUAUUUUUAAAAAAAUAAUAAAAUGCAAAAAAAAAUCUUUUUAAAAAUACAUAAAUGUCUUUGGAAAAUGGAAUUACACCACGUAUAUUUGAAUACAUCUAAUUACCUAACAAUAUUUCCUUAAGUAAGUAUACGGAGUUUUAGUUUUUUACACUAUAGUUAAUUCUUAGAAAAAAAUUAUGUAUAACUUUAUUAAUUGGUCUUUCAUUAAUGAUAUUGUUCCAUCUUAGAAUUAGAGUUGGUGUUGAUCGAUGACGUAGAACUUUUGAAUUAGUGAUGUUGAUCUUAGGUAUGGUGGUGUAGAGGAGAUAAGUAAGGUUAACACUCCAAUGUCAAGUCAGUUUUAGAGUCCAAGAUAAAUAUAGUAAAAAGUGAAAAUUAAAAAAAUAUAUUUUAAAUCUUACGUGUGCUGACUAUGUGCGUUGGAUAAUCAUGAUUGGACUUGUGCAUCAUUGGUUGUAUUGGACCUUUGAUCGGUUCAGAACAGUUGCUCCAAGACUUGUCGGGUGUACAUUAGCACGACCUUACAAAAAUGUCUGACCAUGGCGUGGAGUAGGAAUGUCAUUGUUACAAAAGUAACGGUGGAACAAUCGCCUUAAAUAUUUUUCCAUUAUUGAACUAUUUCGCUGAUUUCUUCAAACGUAUGACUUUAGGUUAGCAGGUUAAGGCAUGACACUUUCUCUUUCAGAAAUAGGCAACAUUUGUGAAGUGUUGCAGUAUGCAAUUUGUAUUUUGAAUUUAGAAAUAGACAGCACUUCGUGAAGUGUUUCGGGAUGUGAAACAAUACAACAUUUGAAAACUGUUGUUGUAGACGAAAUAAUGCAACGUUUGAAAAUGCUGUUGUAGACAAAACAAUGCAACAUUUAGUAAAACUGGUUGCUGAAAGUGUGUGUUUGAUAAAGAAUCACAAUCUUAGGAAACAACAUCAGUUUGACUUAUAACUUGAGUAUUCCGGAUUCAGGAAAACAUAUCCUCUUCACAAAAUUUAUGGAUUUCAUCUUCCCUAUAUUUGAAUUUGCUCAGUCUUGUGCAAACUCGAGUAUAGGCUGAAUUAUUCUGGGUAUUCAUGCAUACAAAUUCUAAGAUAAUUUGACAGUGCGCGAAAUGUUAUAAAAAAGUGAUUUGUUCACGAUUCUAACGUCAAUCAAUUUGAUUUCAAUUAAUUUUUCUAACAAUCAUAUAAUAUUUGAAUUAUGGCAACCAAAAUUUAUAUUUCAAGUAUCAAAUAAUAAACAACUAUGUUGUAAGGACAUUUUAAACAUAAGAAAAAUCUACAUCAUGAAUCACGAUGAUCCUUGAAAGGAUGGUAAGAGGUGAGAGAGUUUCAUUGGUUGGAAUUGAUAUGGUGGUUUGUAAUUUGAUUGAUAUUUAAUAUUUGAAGUUUUUUAAUCCUUUGUUGGAAAUGUAAGAGCAAAAUUGCUCUAGAUUGCUUUGGAUUUGACACAUAUUAUUUAUUAUGGUGAUUAAUAUCCACUUUCCAAUUGGUGAGUUCCUCUUAUUGUUUAACUAUUUGAUAGUAUUCACUAUGCAUCAUGCAUAAACCAUAGUUUAAAUAUAAAAAUGCUAUAGUUUAACAUUGUGUCAUGUGUUGUUGUGUUUGGAAGAAGAGUGGAAUAUAUGUAUGUUGAUAAGUUAUAAUGAAUGUUCAAUCAUACAUCGAGAUUCAAAAUAUGAAUUGAAAGUGAUGUUUUUAAAAUUGUGAGUAAAUCUGAUUAUAUGAAUCAUUCUAUGCAUCGUCAACAAAAACAUGAUAAUUUUAAGUAAAAGUAACUGACAUAUGCAAAAUUAUAUGCUAUUCAUGAUAUAUAAGAAAAAUUGAUAUAUUUUAAAUUAUAAAAAGAAAAUAAAAGGAUGGCAACACACAUUUGUUAAAAAAUAAGUGAUUGACGAUACAAAGUUUACCAGGGUGAAAGUUGCAAAUUUGCAAAUUAGCCAUAAUGAAUUGAGAUUCAUGGUUCGAAAAUAGAUACACAUAGUGACUUGUAUAGAAAUGUGCAUAAAUGGAGAUCUUAAUGAAUAAAAGACGUGAAAGUUGUUAAAUCUUUAUAUGGAUUAAAACAAACGUCAAAACAAUGAUAUCAAAAAUUCGUCUUUGUCAUUGGAGAGAUACAUAAUUUAACUGGAGACUUUUGAAUCUUAUCAAAAUAAAAAUUCUAAGAGUUCGUCAUCAUCAAAAGGGGAAGAUUGUGAAGUAUAUAUAUCUAGUUUAGUUUUGAUGAAGACAAAAGUUAUCAAAAAAGAAAAGAAUCAAAUGUGUCAUGCACAUCAAUGAUGAAGUUGAACAAGAAGGUUAAACAUGUAAGUUCAAGUGAAUAUUUGAAACAAGUGAACAUAACUAAGGUGCUCAUUGAAAUUUAUACUAUACUAUUUUAAAUUGCUCAUAAUUUUAUCUUUCACUUCAUCUUAAAACCUUCUUGCAUCAUCAUGCAUUAUUAUCUAAAAAUCUUCUUCCUCUAAUUCUUUUUACAAGUGUUUGUACACAAAGUUGUGCGGAAAUAUUGUGAUAUUCAUCGGUCUCUAUAUUGAUUAUAUGAUUGAUCAUUAGCAACGAGAUGAAUGGAAUUUUAGAAACAAUGAGGUUUCUAGCUUCCACAUUCAAGAUGAAUGAUCUUGGACUAGUUGACACGCUUUUGAAGAUCAAAGUAAAACGAAAUAGUGAAAUUUAUGAACUUAGUCAAACACAUUAUGUUGAGAAAGUACUUGAUAAAUUCAAAAACUUACAUUUCAAGAAAGUGAAUACUCCAUUUGAUCCUAGUGUCCUUAAAAUAAUGAUGGAAGAAUUGUGGCUCAAUUGGAAUAUGCAAGUUUAAUUGAUUGUCUAAUGUAUUUGAUGCAAUGUAUCUGACAUAUCAUUUGCAAUUAGUAAAAUAAAUAGAUUUACUAGCAAUCUAAAUGGUGAACAUUGGAAGGAAAUCACAAAGAAUUUUGGUUAUCUUUUAAAAUAGAAAAUUUUGGCCUUCAUUACGGUAGAUUUCCUGCCAUACAAGAAGGAUAUACUGAUGCGAUUUGGAUAUCGAGAGUUGGAGAUUAUAAAUCUACAACUGGAUGAAUAUUUACAUUAGAUGGAAGUGCAAUUUCUUGGAAGAGCAAGAAACAAACAUGCUUUACUCUUUUGACCAUGAAAUCAGAGUUUGUGACUCUUAUGUCCGCUGGACAAGAAGCAGAAUGGUUGAUGGACCUUCUGUUGGAGACUCCAUUGUCUAAGGACAAUGUCUCGAAAGUGUUGAUACAUUGUGAUAACCAAGCCAAACUAGCUAGAGAAUUCAGUGACAUAUACAACGAAAAGUCUAGGCACAUAAGUCUUAUACAUUCUUUCGUGAGAAAAUUGAUUAAGGAAUGGAUCAUUUCACUAACAUAUAUACAAAUAAGCUAUAAUUUAGUUGAUAUGUUUACUAAGUCACUGGCCAAAGACUUAGUAAAGACUACCUCAAGAGGUAUGAGAUUGAAACUCCUUAAAUAUGGGUUCCGACAACAGUAGCAACCCAAUAUGAAGUUAACAAAUCUUAACCUAAAAUUCAAUGGGUAACAGCAAGUCAUUAAUUUGGAUGUUUGUGCAACAUUAUAUGACAAUGUCGAGUAUUACAUAUUGAGGGUUGAGCUUUUUCAAACUCUUAAUGAAAUUUUAUAUCGAGGAUAUGCAUCUCAAGAAAUAGAUACAAAAUGAACUUCACCUAUAUGAAUUUCGAGAUGGCGUCGUCUCAAAGUGAGAGUAGGAGCUCCUCUCAUAAAAAAAUCACGAAAACAGGAAAAGCACAUGACCAUAAAUAAUGAUAGACGAGAGAUGUAGGCGAAGAACCAUUAAAGAAUGUGCGUAAGGUAGCACCAGUAUAAUCACAAAGGAUAACAAUUUAAAGCAUAGGUACCUAACGUUCCGAUUAAACUUUGUGUUAUCCUUGCCAAUGUUAAGUUCAAAUUGAAAAAUACUUAACUGUAUUAACAUUUUUGUUUUCCUUUUUCUGGAAUGAAUCUUGUCAUUAUUAGAACAAGUGGAAGAUUGUUGUAAAUUAUUAAAAAUUAAUAAUCUUGAUUGUGUUCUAAAAUCAUAAGAAAAUAUGCAAUUGAAGGUUAAUUUUGAAUUCAGAAAUAGGCAACACUUGUGAAGUAUUGCAGAAGGCAGUUUUUAUUUUGAAUUCAGAAACAAAAAAUACUUCGUAAAGUGUUUUAAAAUGCGAAACAGUACAAACCUUUGAAAGCUGUUGUUGUAGGUGAAACAAUGCAACGUUUGAAAAGUGUUAUUGUAGGCGAAACAAUGCAACAUUUAGCAAAAGUGAUUGCUGAAAGUGUGUGUUUCUUCAUAGGUCACAACCUUAUGAAAUAACAUCAGUUUUGCCUAUAAAUUGAGCAUUUUAGAUUCAAAAAAACACAUUAGAAAAGUCUAUUAUCUUCGCACAAAAUUCCAGAUUUCAUCUUCCUUAUAUUCAAAUUUUUAUUGAUCUUAUGCAAACUCGAGUAUAGACUAAAUUAUUCUGGAUAAUCUUACAUACAAAUUCUAAGAUAAUUUGAGAUUGUUUGAAAUAUUAUAAGAAAAGUGAUUCGUUCAACGAUUCUAAAAAGAUUUUUUUAAUAGGAACUGCGUAUGUAUGUGACUUAGUAUACUAUUUCAUCCAGAUUAAAAUAAAUGAAUAAAUAAAAAAAAGAAUGAUAUUUUUAUUAAAAUAUCUUUUAUUAAGUAUUACAAAUUAUAAAAAUAAUAUUGAUUAAAAAUAAAAUUGAAAAAUAUGGAUUGAAAAUUAAAUUGAGUUAUUUAUUUAAAAAAAAAACUAUUCUAAAUAGAUAGGCGGAAUGAGUAGUGUAGAAUGUUGCUUACACAAUGCGGUGAUCGACAUAAUUCUAUCACAAUUAUUGAUUAACUUAUUUAUAUAUAAUUUCCUUCCUUUCCAACAAAAUAUGUGUGUUUUGACUUGACUCACAGCCACAUCCCUUUGUCAUCAAUAUUUAGAAUCACGACAAAACACUACUAGAAUUUUGUUGUGAUUAUAUUUAUCAAGACAAAAUUAAAAUAAUUGGUAAAAUAGAUAAAAUGCAUAUUUGCAUAAAUAUUAUUUCAUCCGAAUAUAUAUAUUUUGUUCAUACGGUUAUUAAGAAUAGUAUUGAAUUAAGAAUGAUCAUUAUUAAGUUUAGUGAAAGAAAAUUGUUGAUUCAUUAUUUAAUAUCAGAUGACAAUAUUUAUUUAUAUUUAAAUAUUAAUAUAAUAUGUUAUUUAUAUUUUAAAAUUAAUAAUUAGAAAACAAUGAAUUAUAUAUUUUUAAUAUUAGAAUAAGUUUUAAUUAUCAAAAUAUUUUUAUUAAUAGUAAAUUUUAUAAAAUUUAAUAUUUAUAAAAUAUAAAAGACUUAUUUAAAAUAUUAAAUUAUAAAAUUACAAAUAAAUAUUAGACAUUUUACUCCUCACACCUACAAAUAUAGGUAGGUAGAAAUAAAAACAGCACAAAUUAAAAUAGCUAAUCUUCACUCCUCACACCUACCCAAACUCUACCUACUAAUUUAAAAGAUUGCCGCCUCAAUAAUUUCUAAUAAGAUUCUCAGCAAAAAAAGACACAAGAUAAUGUGUUAUUUUUCCGCCUUCUUCCGCAUAAAUUAUUAUAUCCUCUUUCAACAUAUGAAUCAUAUAAAAAGGUCCAUACUAGUUUAUAAUUUCUUCAUACCCAUUUCAACCAAAACACCAAAGUUAACAAACAAUAGAAAUGGAUUUCAGUACAAACGGUUCUGAAGAAAGUGAACUCUAUCAUGCUCAAAUCCAUUUAUACAAACAUGUAUACAACUUUGUAAGUUCCAUGGCACUCAAAUCCGCCAUGGAACUAGGCAUAGCUGAUGCAAUUCAUAACCAUGGAAAACCAAUGACUCUCCCUGAAUUAUCUUCAUCUUUGAAACUUCACCCCUCUAAAGUUAACAUCCUUUAUCGAUUCUUACGUCUGUUAACACACAAUGGUUUCUUUGCUAAAACAACAGUGAA
Molecule: long non-coding RNA, 71128 nt
Filed under: Lathyrus oleraceus (garden pea)
Lineage: Eukaryota; Viridiplantae; Streptophyta; Magnoliopsida; Fabales; Fabaceae
Description: Pisum sativum (pea) long non-coding RNA (PSAT_LNC033212)
Source: RNAcentral